UCUGUGCCAGUGGGGCUAUAAAGCCACCAACUCUUGUUUGUAAUCGACAUGGAUAUGCUAUGAGCUAAAUUGCUUAAUCAUACAUCUUAUAGUAAUACAAACUCUAGCAGGGCUACUUUCCCCUUUGCCUCAACGAGAUCUGAGAACUUGUUCCUUGUUCUAAUGCCCUGUGGGGUGUGACGAUUGGUAUCAUGAGCGCAGUCUUUCCUCAGCGACGAGAUAGAUCAGAGCUGCCGCAGUGAUUUCCCACCCUUCCCUCCCUUUUUCUCGGCAGCGAUGGCGGCGUGUGGCGGCUGAGUUGUGGUGGCGUGGUGGCGGUAGACACAUUCGACGGCAACUCGUUGAGCGCGAGUGGUUGGUUGAGCAUCUUGCUUUUCCAAUAAUAUCCCAGGUCAAGCUACGGGUGGUGCUAUUCCGGAGGCGUAAUCGCACACGGCGGCAGGAUUCGGUGCCAGAUCGGGUUCCCAGUGAGGUUCGGCGGUAAAAUUCCUCUCUGCAUCCACUGAAUCGGUAUGGGGCGCUCUAAAUCAAGCCUCGAGGAGUCUGAUGUAGUUGAUCUGCUUGCGAUGAAAGGUAAAUUUCUGCAGCAUCGUGAAGAAACAACAUAUCUGAGGGGUGAAGUGGAUGACUUGCGUAAGGAUGUAGAGAGCAUCAAUCUCAAACAGGACACCAUGGUCUCGGUACUGGAUGGAGUACAGAAAGAAGUCUCUACUCUGAAUUUGUAACUAGCUACUAUGGCGGAUGUGCUCAAGUCCCUCUGACCUACUGAAGCUUCGAGUUCUGCCCAACAGGGCAAACUAUCUCCUGAUCAAACUACAAUGCUCCCUCUACAACAGCCACAGAAGGAAACAGUGGCAGUGGACAGAACUUUAACUGAAGAAAUGCGCAUGCGUCUCAUGGUGGAACAAGAAAAAACAAGGUAGGUAGCUUCUCAGAUCCCACCUCAUCUAGCACCAAUUCAGGUACCUAGAACUACCACCCCACCAGGUUUCAGAGCAAACCAGAUGAUGGAGAUCCAUUCAGGCAAUGUCACACCAACAACAUCAUACAAAACUGCACGUACUCUCGGGUUUCAUGGUUUUCAACCACCUGGUGUUUGUCAAAAUUGGGACGAUUUCUAGAAGCAGUACGAGCAGGAGAUGCGUACACAGUUCCUCAAAAGCAUGACCAAAGGCCCACGCAUGGACUUCCCUCGUUUUUAUGGAGAUAACCCAGCUGGCUAGAUUCGCCGAUGUGAAAAAUACUUUCAGAUGCCAGGAGCACCUGUAGAAUACAAAGUUAACUUGGCACAACUCUAUGUAACAGGCAGAGUUGAUAUGUGGUUGCGUCGCUCAGGAAUCUUGAAGAAACAUUUAACAUGGGCACAAUUAUGUGAGGAGAUAUUGCGCAAAUUCUCUUCAGCCAUUUCUUAUGAACUAACUGAUAAAUUCAAUACACUCAAGCAUAGCACCUUCACUGUUUCAGAAUACACCAGUCAGUUUGAAGAAUUGAUGGCUGAGGUCCAAGCACAUAACCCCAUCAUGGACGAGAACUGGUUUGUCAGAUGUUAUGUGAAUGGGCUUCGUUCCCAGAUCAAGUUCCAAGUGAGAGCCUUAAGACCCACAAAUCUGACAGAAGCCUACUGGUUAGCAGUAGACUUGGAAAAAGGUGCAGCUAAGAAGAAGUCAUACACCAGCUACUAUGGGACCAACAAAUACUCCACAGGUUACCAGAAAACUCACACUUCCCUCCGUGAAAAACCAACAUAAUCCAAACCAACUGUUGUCAAUCAAAGAGCUAGAGAGCCUGGCAAGUGUUGGAGAUGUGGAGAUGCUUGGUUCCAUGGCCACAAAUGUAAAAUGGCUCCUGUCCUAAAUGUCCUUACUCGAGAAGAUCCAACUAAACAACCAAAAGAAUGUGAAGAAAUGGAUGAACAAGAUGAUGAAGAGCAAGUACAUCAAGAAUAGCAUUGCAUGACACUCUUUGCACGAGCUAUGCAAUCUGACAAUGUCAACACCAUCUCUCUUCUGGUUCAGAUUGGGGGAAAACAAGGAAUUGCAUUAGUGGAUUCUGGGAGCAACUCAACUUUCAUCAGCCUAAAGUUUGCCCUAUCAACCAACUUCAUUAUACUGAAAGAUACUUCAAGAGCAGUAGCAGUUGCUGGAGGAGGGUGUCUGUUUCUUAUGUCACAUCUACAACCUUCAUUGCAGGCAACACCAAGUUCCAACAACAAUUCAGAGUACUAUAUCUCCCUGGACAUGACAUAGUACUAGGAAGUGAUUGGAUGGCCCAACACAGUCCUCUGGCCUUUCACUACAACCCAAGAAAAAAUUAUGUCAUGUUGGAUAAACAAACACCUAUUAUUAUUAAAGCCUGUGAUACCCUUGCUGAUGCAACUCCCAUAGAGGCAGCUGAACUGGACAAACUCUUGGCAUUGGGUGCUCCUGGUUAUGUGUUACACCUCAUCAGAUAUACUUCAGUGAAAGCAUGAGUACAACAAGAAGUUCCACACAUGUAAAGGAAGUACUUCAACAGUUCCCUGAAGUUUUCAAGAACCCAAAGGUUUGCCACCCAAAAGAGCACAUGACCACAAGAUUCCCCUAAAAGAAUAGGCAGUCCCACCAAACUCCAGACCUUAAAGAGUACCACACAUGCAGAGGAAUGAGUUAGAGAGGCAGAUUGACUCUAUGCUCAGAGACAAAAUUAUAAGAGCUAGUGAAAGCCCAUAUUCCUCUCCUGCAAUUCUUGUCAUGAAGAAGGAUGGCACUUGGAGAAUGUGCAUCGACUACAGAAAACUGAAUGUUGCUACUGUCAAAAAUAAGUUCCCCAUACAUGUGAUUGAGGACUUGUUGGAUGAAUUACAUGGUGCUACUUAUUUUACUAAAUUGGACCUCAGAUCUGGCUAUCAUCAGGUGAGGAUGAAUGAACAGGGCAUACCCAAAACUGCUUUCAGAACAUACUUUGGUCAUUAUGAGUUUCUGGUUAUGCCCUUUGGACUUGCUAAUGCACCUCGGACUUUCCAAGCCCUCAUGAACAACAUCUUUGGUCCCUAUUUAAGAAAAUUUGUGCUGGUAUUUUUUGAUGAUAUCCUCAUCUUCAGCAAAUCCCUAUGUGAACACUUGGAACACCUACAAAUUAUCCUGCAACUCCUGGAAGAACAUCAGCUCUUUGCCAAGCUUUCCAAGUGUGUUUUUGCUGCUAAGCAAGUGGAUUACCUAGGCCAUAUUAUUAGUGGUGAAGGAGUUUCCACUCAUCCUGCAAAAGUCACAGCAGUUGCUGAAUGGCUAGUACUCACUACCCCUAAACAGCUCAGAGGAUUCUUAGGCCUGUGUGGAUACCACAGAAGAUUUGUUAAGAACUUUGGCACCAUUGCCACACCGCUGCAUGAUAUACUGAAAAAGACAGUUUUUGUUGGACAGACCUCCAAACCACUGCUUUCAAGAACCUGAAACAGGCCAUGAUACAGGCACCAGUGCUAGCACUUCCUGAUUUCUCUGAACCAUUUACUUUGGAAACAGAUGCAUAUGGAGCUGGAUUGGGGGCAGUCAUGAUGCAGAAAGGUAGACCUAUGGCUUAUUACAGCUAUACCCCGUGCCCAAAAAAUGUUGCACUAUCAACAUAUGAAAAAGAAGCACUAGCAAUCCUUGCUUCCCUCAAAAGGUGGAGGCAUUAUUUCCUUGGGAAUGACCUCAUCAUCAAAACUGAUCACCAGAGUCUGCAAUUCAUGACAGACCAAAAGAUCACCACAAGUAUCCAGCACAAACACAUGCUAAAACUGCUAGAAUUCAACUUCACUCUCCAAUACAAGAAGGGCAAGGAAAACAUUGUUGUUGAUGCUCUCUUGCUACCUCUCGAGCUUGCGUUGGUUUUUCCCUUGAAGAGGAAAGGGUGAUGCAGCACAGUAGCGAUAAGUAUUUCCCUCAGUUUGAGAACCAAGGUAUCAAUCCAGUAGGAGUAUCAAGAUGAGGGACCAAUGUACCUACGAAAAAAAAAACUUGCACCCAACGCUAUAAAGGGGUUGUCAAUCCCUUCACGAUUAUUUGCAAGGUGAGAUCUGAAGGUGAAAAGUGCAACAAAGUAAUUUUGUAGAUCUGAAUAUAUGAUGUGAAGUAGACCCGGGGGCAUAGUGUUCACUAGAGGCUUCUCUCAUGAUAGCAAGUAUUACGGUGGGUGAACAAAUUACUGUCGAGCAAUUGAUAGAAUUGCGCAAAGUCAUGACGAUAUCUAAGGCAAUGAUCAUACAUAUAGGCAUCACGUCCGAGACAAGUAGACCGAUACUUUCUGCAUCUACUACUAUUACUCCACACAUCGACCGCUAUCCAGCAUGCAUCUAGUGUAUUGAGUUCAUAACAAACAGAGUAAAGCCUUAAGCAAGAUGACAUGAUGUAGAGGGAUAAAUUCAUGCAAUAUGAUAUAAACCCAUCUUUUUACCCUUGAUGGCAACAACACGAUGCGUGCCUUGCUACCCCUUCUGUCACUGGGUGAGGACACUGCACGGUAUGAACCCAAAACCAAGCACUUCUCCCAUUGCAAGAAUUAUAGAUCAAGUUGGCCAAACGAAACCCACAACUCGAAGAGAAUUACAAGGAUACAAAAUCAUGCAUAUAAGAGAUCAGAGGAGACUCAAAUAAUAUUCGUAGAUAAUCUGAUCAUAAAUCCACAAUUCAUCGGAUCUCGAGAAACACACCGCAAAAGAAAGUUACAUCGGAUAGAUCUCCAUGAAGAUCAUGGAGAACUUUGUAUUGAAGAUCCAAGAGAGAGAAGAAGCCAUCUAGCUAUUAGCUAUGGACCCAAAGGUCUGUGGUGAACUACUCAUGCAUCAUCGGAGAGGCAAUGGUGUUGAUGAAGAAGCCCUCCGUGUCCGAAUCCUCCUCCGGCAGGGCACCAGAACGGUCCCCAAAUGGGAUCUUGCGGAGACAGAAGAUUGCGGCGGCGGAAAAGUAUUUUCGUGGCUCUCCCCUUUGGUUUCGGGAUUUUAGAGAAUUUAUAGGCGAAAGAGGUAGGGCAAAGGAGCCACGUGGGGCCCACAAGCCUGUCAGGCGCGCCCCCGAGGCCGCGGUUAGGGGGCUUGUGAUCUCCCCCGAGGUCUCCUGCCUUGGUUCUCAAGUCCCCUGCGUAUCUUCUGUUAUGGAAAAAAUCACCCCGCAUGUUUUAUUCCAUUUGGACUCCGUUUAAUAUUCUUCUUUGAAAAAAGUCAAAAACACGGAAAAACAGAAACUGGCACUUGGCACUGAGUUAAUAGGUUAGUCCCAAAAAUAGCAUAAUCAUGCGUAUAAAACAUCCAAAGUUGACAUGAUAAUAGCAUGGAACCAUAAAAAAUUAUAGAUACGUUGGAGACGUAUCAAGCAUCCCCAAGCUUAACUCCUGCUCGUCCUCGAGUAGGGAAGUGAUAAAGACCGAAUUUUUGAUGUGGAAUGCUACCUAACAUAUUUGUUAUUUGUAACUUAUUUCUUGUGGCAUGAAUGUUCAGAUCCGUAAGAAUCAAAACAAUAGUUUACUAUUGACAUGAAAACAAUAAUACUUCAAGCAUACUUAGCAAAGUAAUCGUGAACUUUUGAAAUAACAAGGCCAAAGAAAAUUAUCCCUAAAAAUCAUAUAGUCUGGCUAUGCUCUAUCAUCCUCACACAACGAAUUUAAAUCAUGCACAACCCCGGUAUUGGCCAAGUAAUUGUGUUCGCACUCUUACUUUCUCAAACCUUUUCAACUCUCACGCAAUACAUGAGCGUGAGCCAUGGAUAUAACACUAUAGGUGGAAUAGAGUGUGGUGGAGGUUGUGAGGCAAAAAGGAGGAGAUGGUCACAUCGACUCGGCGUAUCAAUGGGCUAUGGAGAUGCCCAUCAAUAGAUAUCAAUAUGAAUGAGUAGGGAUUUCCAUGCAACGGAUACGCUAGAGCUAUAAGUGUGUGAAAGCUCAAAAAGAAAACUAGUGGGUUUGCACCCAACUUGCUUGCUCACGGGGUGUGCACCCAACUUGCUUGCUCACGAAGACCUAGGGCAAUUUUGAGGAAGCCCGUCAUUGGAAUAUACAAGCCAAGUUAUAUAAUGAAAAUUGCCACUAGUACAUGGAAGUGAAAAACAAGAGACUCUCUAUCAUGAAGAGCAUGGUGCUAUUUUGAAGCACAAGUGUGGAAAAAGAUAGUAGCAUUGUCCCUUCUCUCUUUUUCUCUCAUUUUUUUGUUUGGGCUCUUUGGCCUCUUUUUUUUCAUUUUUUGGUGGGCAACUUUGGCCUCUUUUUUUAUUUCCUCACAUGGGACAAUGCUCUAAUAAUGAUGAUCAUCACACUUUUAUUUACUUACAACUCAAUACUUAGAGAAAUGAUGACUCUAUAGGAAAUGCCUCCGGCAGUGUAACGGGAUGUGCAAUGAUCUAGCUUAGCGUAUGACGUUGAAACAUCUCGCUAGCUAUCUUACGAUCAUGCAAUGGCAAUAUGAAAGUGACGGCACAUGUCAUGAGACGGAACGGUGGGAGUUGCAUGGCAAUAUAUCUCGGAAUGGAUAUGAAAAUGACAUAAUAGGUAGGUAUGGUGGCUGUUUUGAGGAAGGUAUAUGGUGGGUUUGUGCACCGACGAAAGUUACACGGUACUAGAGAGGCUAGCAAUGCUGUAAGGGUGAGAGUGCGUAUAAUCCAUGGACUCACAUUAGUCAUGAAGAACUCAUAUACUUAUUGCGAAAGUUUUAUUAGUAAUCGAAACAAAGUGCUAAACGCAUACUCCUAGGGGAAGGGUUGGUAGGUGUUAACCAUCGCGCGAUCCCGACCGCCACACAAAGGAUGACAAUCAAUAAAUCAAUUAUGCUCCGACUUCCUAACAUAGCGGUUCACCAUACGUGCAUGCUACGGGAAUCACUAACCUCAACACAAGUAUUUCUAGAUUCACAACACCCUACUAACAUGAUUCUAAUAUUACCAUAUCUAAAUCUCGAAAUUAAUUAUGAGGAAUCAAACUUCUCUUACUAAUCAAUGCACUUGAAUAUGAAAGUUUUUAUUAUAUCCUCUUUGGAUCCCUAUCAUCUUUAGGACUAAUUUCAUAACACACGCCAAUUACCAAGUUACUUAGAGAGAGCACUCUCAAAAAGAUAUAAGUGAAGAUCGAGAGUUUUUAUUUUUCAAAAUAUGACACCGCCGUGCUCUACAAAGAUUUAAGUGAAGCACUAGAGCAGAAUUAUCUAGCUUAAAAGAUAUAAGUGAAGCACAUGCGAGCUAAAUUGCCUAACUCAAAAUAUAUAAGUGAAGCUCAUUGAAUAUUCUAGCAAAUUCACGAUGAGUGCAUGUCCCUCUCAAAAAGUUGUGCAGCAAGGUUGAUUGUGACCAAACAAAAAAGCAUAAACUCCUAUAAUACACGACGCUCCAAGCAAAACACAUAUCGAAUAAAAAUGUAGCUCCAAGUAACAUUACCUAUGAAUUGAAGAUGAAAGAGGGGAUGCCUUCCCGGGGCAUCCCCAAGCUUAGGCUUUUUUGUGUCCUUGAAUUUGGCUUGGGAUGUCUUGGGCAUCCCCAAGCUUAAGCUCUUUCCACUAUUUUUUCCAUUGUCCAUAAGAGCAUCACCCAAAACUUGAAAACUUCACAACACAAAACUUAAACAGAGACUCAUGAUAUCAUUAGCAUAAGAAAACAAACCACCACUCUUUAGGUACUGUAGUAAACUUGAUUUAAAUUUAGAUUGAUGUUAUAUUACUGUAUUCUCACUUUUCCAUGGCUAGUACCAUCCGAUACUAACCAUAGUUUCAUCAAAAUAAGCAAUCAACACAACAAAAACAGAAUCUGUCAAAAAACAGACCAGUCUGUAGCAAUAUGUAUACUUCGUAUACCUCUGGUAUCCCAACAAUUCUGAACAAUUAUGAAAGUUAGGGAAAUUUGCAUAUCAACCAACAGGAAAAAGAAUCAACUCCAAAGCUCUUUCUGGAUAGGAAUUAAAAAUAAUUUCGUGAGCACAAAGUUUCUGUCUUUUUCAGCAUGAUCAAACAACGAGCACCAAAACUAAUCAUAAAGGUUCUACUUGGCACAGACACUAAUUAAAACAUAAAAACGCAAUCAUAACAGAAUCAUGAUGGUGUGGACACAACAAAAUAGAAAGUAAAAAGCAAAAAUAAAUUUAUUCAUUGGGUUGCCUCCCAACAAGCGCUACCGUUUAACGCCCUUAGCUAGGCAUUGAUAAUUCAAUGAUGCUCACAUAAACGAUAGCAAUCGGACACGAAGAGAGCAUCAUGAAACAUGUGACAAACACAUCUAAGUCUAACAUACUUCCUAUGCAUAGGCAUUUUAUAGGAAAACAAAUUAUCAAGACAAGCAAUAACUACCAUAUGCAAGGAAGAAGAAAGAGACAAGAUCUCAACAUAACGAGAGGUAAUUUAGUGAUAUGAAAAUUUCUACAACCAUAUUUUCCUCUCUCAUAAUAAUUACAUGUGGGAUCAUAUUCAAAUUCAACAAUAUAACUAUCACAUAGGAUAUUCUUUUCAUGAUCCACAUGCAUGCAAAGUUGACGCUCUUCCAAAAUAGUGGGAUUAUCAUCAACUAAAGUCAUGACUUCUCCAAACCCACUUUCAAUCUUAUUGCAAACAUUAUUAUCAAUAUCAUAUUCAUCAUGAGGCUUAAACAAAUUUUUAAGUUCGUAAGAAAAAUCAUCACCCCAAUCAUGAUCAUUGCAACAAGUAGUGGACAUAGCAAAACUAGCAUCUCCAAGCUUAGGGUUUUGCAUAUUUUUAGCAUGAUUGUCAUUAAUAGAAUUUAUAGCGAAACCACUGCAAUCAUGCUUUUUAUUCAAGGAGCCCUCAUGAAGCACUUCAUAAAUUUCUUCAUCACAAUUUUCAGAUUCACGCAUCUCAACCAAAACUUCAUAAAGAUAAUCUAGUGCACAAAACUCACUAGCAAUUGGUUCAACAUAAUUGGAUCUCUUAAAGAGAUUAGCAAGUGGAUGAGGAUCCAUAUCAAUAGAUUUUUAGCAAGCGAAGAUGCAAGCAAAUUGAAGGCACAUAGCACACAAGCAAAGGAAAGGCAAACGAAAAAGGCAAAUAUUUUUGUAAAUUUUGUUUUUUCAGAAGUGGGGGAGAGGAAAACGAGAGGCAAAAGGCAAAUAAUGUAAAUGCAAGAGAUGAGUUUGCGAUAGUUACUUGGUAUGCUUCACUUUGAAUACUCCCCGGCAACGACGCCAGAAAUCCUUCUUGCUACCUCUUGAGCUUGCGUUGGUUUUUCCCUUGAAGAGGAAAGGGUGAUGCAGCACAAUAACGAUAAGUAUUUCCCUCAGUUUGAGAACCAAGGUAGCAAUCCAGUAGGAGUAUCAAGACGAGGCACCAAUGUACCUGUGCAAAAACAAACAAACUUGCACCCAACGCUAUAAAGGGGUUGUCAAUCCCUUCACGAUUAUUUGAAAGGUGAGAUCUGAAGGUGAAAAGUGCAACAAAGUAAUUUUGUAGAUCUGAAUAUAUGAUGUGAAGUAGACCCGGGGGCCAUAGUGUUCACUAGAGGCUUCUCUCAUGAUAACAAGUAUUACGGUGGGUGAACGAAUUACUGUCGAGCAAUUGAUAGAAUCGUGCAAAGUCAUGAUGAUAUCUAAGGCAAUGGUCAUACAUAUAGGCAUCACGUCCGAGACAAGUAGACCGAUACUUUCUGCAUCUACUACUAUUACUCCACACAUCGACCACUAUCCAGCAUGCAUCUAGUGUAUUGAGUUCAUAACAAACAGAGUAACGCCUUAAGCAAGAGGACAUGAUGUAGAGGGAUAAAUUCAUGCAAUAUGAUAUAAACCCCAUCUUUUUACCCUUGAUGGCAACAACAUGAUGCGUGCCUCGCUACCCCUUCUGUCACUGGGUGAGGACACCGCACGGUAUGAACCCAAAACUAAGCACUUCUCCCAUUGCAAGAAUUAUAGAUCAAGUUGGCCAAACGAAACCCACAACUCGAAGAGAAUUACAAGGAUACGAAAUCAUGCAUAUAAGAGAUCAGAGGAGACUCAAAUAAUAUUCAUAGAUAAUCUGAUCAUAAAUCCACAAUUCAUCGGAUCUCGACAAACACACCGCAAAAGAAAGUUACAUCGGAUAGAGCUCCAUGAAGAUCAUGGAGAACUUUGUAUUGAAGAUCCAAGAGAGAGAAGAAGCCAUCUAGCUACUAGCUAUGGACCCGAAGGUCUGUGGUGAACUACUCACGCAUCAUCGGAGAGGCAAUGGUGUUGAUGAAGAAGCCCUUCAUGUCUGAAUCCCCCUCCGGCAGGGCACCAGAACGGUCCCCAGAUGGGAUCUUGCGGAAACAGAAGCUUGCGGCGACGGAAAAGUAUUUUCGUGGCUCUCCCUUUAGUUACGGGAUUUUAGAGAAUUUAUAAGCGAAAGAGGUAGGGCAAAGGAGCCACGUGGGGCCCACAAGCCUGCCAGGCGCGUCCCCCCAGGUUGCGGCUAGGGGGCUUGUGAUCUCCCCCGAGGUCUCCUGCCUUGGUUCUCAAGUCCCGUGCGUAUCUUCUGUUAUGGAAAAAAUCAUCCCGCAGGUUUUAUUCCGUUUGGACUCUGUUUAAUAUUCUUCUCUGAAAAAGGUCAAAAACACGGAAAAAACAGAAACUAGCACUUGGCACUCAGUUAAUAGGUUAGUCCCAAAAAUAGCAUAAUCAUGCAUAUAAAACAUCCAAAGUUGACAUGAUAAUAGAAUGGAACCAUAAAAAAUUAUAUAUACGUUGGAGACGUAUCAUCUCUCUAGAAGAAAUUCCCUCAUGGCUAUCUCUAUGGUUAUACAACAAUGGAUUUCUGUAGUAGAACAAUCCUAUGCUCAGGAUAACACAUGCCAGUCCAUGUUGGAAAGACUGUUAUUGGCUCCGACUCAUUCUGAAAACCAGAACACCCUGCAUUCAGGGAUCAUUAGGCACAAAGGAAAGAUCUAUGUGGGCAAAGAUGUGGACGUGAGAACAAAAUUACUAACAACACUCCAUGCAUCUGCCAUUGGAAGACAUUCUAGAAGGAAAGCUACCUACCACAUAAUCAAGCAAAUAUUCUAUUGGCCAGGCCUGAAGCAAGCAGUAGAUCAAUUUGUGGCAGAAUGCCCAACAUGCCAGAAAAAGGGAAAACUACCCCUAUCCAGGCUACUUGGAUCCUCUCCAAAUUCCUGACAUGGUAUGGACACACUUGAGCAUGGACUUCAUUGAAGGACUACCAAAAUGAAAUGGACACGAUGUUAUUUUGGUGGUAGUGGACAGGCUGUUCAAAUUUGCACAUUUUAUCCUUGUGUCUCGCCCCUACACUGUCCAAACUGUGGCUCAAGCUUUCAUUGAUAAUGUGAUCAAACUUCAUGGUCCACCACUGGCCAUUGUGUCUGAUCGUGAUCACAUUUUCACUAGUCAACUGUGGCAAGAUAUCUUCAAGGGCAUGGGAAUAGACCUGCGUUACAGCUCUGCUUACCACCCUGAGUCUGAUGUCCAAACUGAACAUGUGAACCAGUGUAUUGAGAACUAUCUGCGUUGUCUCAGCUCAAUGCAACCGAAGAAAUGGGUAAAACACCUAGCAAUGACAGAAUACUGGUACAACACAUCCUACCACAGCUCCCUCCAGUAAACACUGUUUGAAGCAGCUUAUGGCUACCCACCUCCCAACAUCUGCGAGAAUAUCUUACCAGACAAUAUGACAGAGGACGCUCGGCACUUCUUUACUGACAGAGAGGCACUUCUCCCGCAUUUGAAAAAGCAAUCUCACUGCUUCUCAAGCUUGUAUGAAAAAUAUGCCGACCGGAAGCACACCGAAAGGACCCUGGAAGUAGAAGAUAUGGUUUACCUGAAAAUGCAGCCUUAUCGCCUGAAUGCCUUCGGACUGCGUAGUCACAUCAAGCUCCAAAGUAAGUACUACGACCCUUUGUGCAUCCUUGCUAAAGUGGGGCAAGUCGCCUACGAACUUCUCUAGCCAGAAAGCACGAGCAUCCAUCCAGUCUUCCACAUCAGUAAACUGAAGAAGCACGUGGGACAAAAAGCCAUUCCGUGUUCUGAUCUUCCUUUAGUACGAUCGGAUGGAAUGAUCCUCACUGAACCGGUUAUGGUUGUCGUCUUUCUUCGUCAACCCAAACACUCACCUCACCUCAAAUCGUUGGUUUUUCCAUCAUUUUUGUAAGCAUCUGGGACACUAUGUAUUCCAUCAUCGACACCUCUUCGAUGACGUCUUCUUCGAGUUUGGCUAGCUUCCUCUAUUCCCUUGUACUAUUCUUUUUUAACUUGAUUGACAUUCAAUUAACUUACAAAGAUAUAUGAUAUAUAUCAUUUUAAAAGGAACACCAAGAACUUGUGUAAUUAAAACUAACAUGGCAUUACUUGUUAAGUGCAUAGGUCUGGUUUUCACACAAUGGUAAAACCAGGGACAAUGUUGAUUUUCACAAGCCUAAAGAACCAAAGAGAAUGAAGGUUUGCACAUGCAUUCAUGUGAAUAAGAUAAAAAAAACAGCGCUUGCGAGAGAUGAAAAUGAUACACUUGUUUAUGCACAUGGACAGAAUGGCGUCUCUCUCCUCAUUCCUGGUGGGUACAGUACACAUUAUCACACUUCACAAUGGCUACAUGACCGAGUGUAAAUAUUACUCCAAUGUGAAUAUUACUCCAAAACCACGGUUGUGCUCACUCCUAUCUACAAACAGUUCUCAUAAAAUGUUUUUACCAUUGUGACCUUACAGUCACUCGAUGCCUUCACCAAACAGCCAUGGCCGCUUUGUCGAGUGUUCAUGUCCCCGUUCUUCUUCUUGGUCUCCUAGUCUAUGGCGUUCGCGAUGGAAAUGGUGAGGGCGAUGGGCAGAAAAUACCCGGGCCUCUCAAAGAACUUGGUUUGUUGAAGAAUCCCAUCGAUGCCAUCAAAAUUAUACAAAGUGAGGAUGGCAUGGCUCUUCAGCCCAACGAGUACCAGCCUGGGCCAGUUACUGCAAGUCCAUGUUGUUCACCUCCCAACUAUCCACUGGGCCAAUUUUGUGGCUCACUUUGGUGCAAUCGCUUGUCGCAUAACUACAAUGUAUAAAUCAGUGUGAUGAGAAAUAAAAACAUGUAUGCUUUUAAAAACUAUAAUUGAUAAGGUACAACUGCACAUGUAGUAUUCACGGAAGAAUAGAGGAGGUAGCAUGCCUCGUUAUUCCCUAGAAAAUCGACAACACUCCGUGUAUAAUAAGAGUUCAACCUCUAGAUUUAUAUAUCAUUAGUGCUUUAGUAUCCAUGACUUAUGACAACCAUAGCAAAAUUGAUGGCAAACUCUUGAAUGAACGUAUGUAUUAAUUAGCAUAUCACACGUAGAGUGUUGUUCCGUAAAGUAAUCUCUUCCAAUUCCAAGUAACCUUUAUUAAAACAGAAUGUACUUAACUAAUUUUACGAGCAAUAGCACAUCGAUGAUGUAAACUAAAUUAUCACCUGAAGUCUGAUGCCAAUAUGCUUGCAUGGCUGUUCUUCAUCACUUCUAAUCUUUUCCAAUAUAAAGGGAAAUGCUGGCAGAUGCCAAUAUUUUUGCUCGAUAGUUUGUAUUUAUGGGAUAUUACAGAACUAUAUAGUUUAGAUAAACUGAUCUAAGAAAGACUAUGAAAAAACACUGCAAUUUAGAUACUGUGACUUGUCACUAAUAAGAGUUGUGGUAACCAAUAUUUUCAUCAACUACACGUCUGCACCUCACCUGUAGGCGUCUUAUUCUAAAAUUGAUGGUGAAAAGUCCAUACCCCCGCCUUUCGUCAAAGUAAUGGAAUUUUAAUCAGUACAACAAAUCAUUCACGUAUGAAUUGGUGUGCAUUGCUAUGCGUCUAGGCUUUUGGAACAUAACCAAAAAAAUGCAUGGCGGAUUUCAAGUAAUAGUCAUCUGCCCCUUGUUUCUGGGGAGAAGCUUUUGUAAAGGUACCAUAAUAUGUGUAGCAUUGUAAGUAGUAUAUGUACUUCAGUGUUGCAGCACCAUCGUUCUUGCAGAACUUGCCAACUGAGGAAGUGGCAUUUCACCUAUUAGUAUCCUCACACGAUGCAAGAUCUUUCAACAUCAAAGACAUUAUCAACUGUAAAAUGAUUCAGAUAUGAGUAAAAUUAAUAGGGCACUUCUAAUGAUAAUAAAAUAGCACGUCUUCUUAAGGAAAUUAUAGGCAGACAAACAUAAGCAGAAACAUGAGCACCCAUUUGUAGGCUGAAACAAACUUGAUCUUACUGUUUCUAUAUACGUAUGAAUAUAUAAUUCAAAGCCAUAUAAAAUCGUAUGGGCUUAAAAUACACUAUCACCACAACCAGACAAAUGAUAAAGAAAGGGUAAUGUUUCUUUUUUCCUUACCUUAAGACCUCAGCAGCCCAAUUACUAUUCCUCUACAUCAAAUAUCCAACCACAACCUAUAGAAACGAAUCACGUUACUCCUACAGUCCUUGUAUUGUAUCCCAUAUAACUAUAACUAAAGUGUUUUUCUAAUGCCCGUAAAGAUUAAGUUCUCAAGCUUAGUGAAAAAGAAAAAGCAUCAUAAUGUAGCAUCGUUCAACUUGUUACCUUGUAGUUAAGUAGAGAUCAUUUCGGCAAAAAAGUAGGUUGUUGUAUCUGGGCCUCGCCCGAACACAACCUGCAAUAGAUAAUGGUGUCAAGAAACAGACAAAUUAAUCUAUUAGUUUGCUUCUGAUAUAAGAAAUAAGCUUCAAGAUACGUGCAGUCCAUAAUUAUUUUAUGAAAAAUGGGGAAAAGUUAUUUAUUUACAAAUUCAGUUAGAGCCUAACUGAAUGUAAUAAAAUCUCUGAGGAGAAAAACACAUAAAAAAUGAUUAAAAAUAAGGAUUGAGCACAACCUGAGUGUUGCAUCUUCGACAGGGUAAUUGGUAAGACUUCAUGGUAGACCCAUCAUCAACCAAAGACCGUAAAAUAGUCAAUUUCAGUAGAAGAAAACCAAGAUCUAAGAAAUCAUUUUGAACCAGAGGAAAUACUAUGCCGACUUGAUUAACAUGGUUCUUGACCAUUAUAUAUGAAAUAUUGUAUACAUGAUAGCAAGGUAGCAUAUACGAAAUAACAAUAUGAACAAUAAAAAAAUACUACUCGAGCUGACCAAAAAAAGAAACUGAAACAGGAUUUUCAGAAUCCAUUACGUUCACUAACAGUGGAAAAGCAAAACAAGGACUAUAUCAAUAAGUUUGUAUUGGCUAUGUUAGACAAUAGCUUAGAACUUCAUCAAUUAGGAGAAUGAAUCAGGAUAAAAUAGUAAAAUCGAUGGCUAGUUAGUCCUCUCUUUUUGGUGCCUGAAGAUCUCAUUGAUAUUUAGAGAUAAGCAGGGAUUGCUUGUCCAAGUAGCAUGGUAAUCCUAAUUAGAUAAUUCUACUUAGUCAGGUGCUAUAUAAGUGUAUAUAAAUGCAUGUAGCUCCUUGCUUGUAAUCACCUUGAGUUGAAGAAAUAUAAACAUAGCUUGUUACCACCACCGGUUAAACAAAUAUGAAUAACAGGCACCUUAAUUACCUUCCAGUGGCUAUCCAAUCAGCUUUCACAUACUCGUGUCUUGCUAAUCCAUCAAUCAUUCCAGUGAUUACAAGGACAAGGAGCCAUCCAUAAACAUUUGUAACCAUUCUUGAAUCCUACAAAUUUGUGGUACCAUCCAUCAUCAGGAAGAAAGUAAGACAAAUGAUAUGAAAAAACCCUGAAAAGGAGGCGAAAGUGGGCUUUCCUUGCUGCUGUAGAUUGGCGUAGGUUCUGCUGCUGGGGCGUGCAGAAUUUUCAGUGAAGGGAUGUGGACAUGCUCCUCUCUUGUGUCGGCAAACUCCUCGAGUCCAAAUGCAAUCCCAACCUAGUGCCGAGUCACCGCAGCCAACGUCAUCUCCUCUUCCGCAGCAGCGAUUUCUUGUGGUCACGUGAGGCAAGGCAAGGCGCUCAAAAGGCUCCAUCAUUGGGGUCAAGGUGAAUUGAUGAGAAAUCCGGAAAUUUUCACAAAACAAAAAGUUUCCUGAACAAUCUGAAGAAUAUUUAUGCCCACAUACCUCGGGUCUCCCGGAGGGCUUGAGCUCAAGUAGCUUGAGCCUGUGCUCAUGAUUUGGUCGCGGUGGAGGCAAUCUCCUUUCCUCACAGAGGACCGGCAUCCUUUCCCCGAACCCCGCGUGCCACCGUGCCUUCCAGGCCUAAACCCCUGGGGCGAAUAGCUCCCAUGCGACGUCGUUGAGUUGAAUUAUCUUUCAUGCAACGUCAUUGGUUGUAAUGGCUCUUAUGCAACAUCUCCCAACGCAGAAAUAGCUCAAGCAAGACAACCCGUUUACGGGGCUAGCUGGCUGUUAGUUAGGCUGAGAUUUGGUUAGGACACUGGGGUUAUGUGCUCUGACUGGUGGGGUCCACCCAGGGCCACGUCGUCAAGAGUCAACCGUCCAUUACUCGACCGGUGACUGUCUGACCGUGCUCGACUCGACCGUGCUGGACUGGGCGAGCCGCACCGCCGUGAGCAUCUUCUCCGGCAGAGGCAUCAGUUUCUUCUCCGCGGUGGUGGAGCGCCUUUCUCGGCAGCGACAGAGCUAUUGCGUGUGAGUAUUUUCAAAACCCUAGUCCCAUUUCCUAGAAUUUUGGGCAGACCUGUGGCCUCAUGCUCUGUUUCUCCCGUUUCUUGGCGAUUUAGAAUCUCGAUUGGUUAGGAGCACGGGGGCUGAAUGAGAUGGAGCGAGGAGACAGAGCUUCAAAUCGGUAAUGCCGCCUUCUUUUCUCUUUUAGCUGUUAUCAAACUCAAUUUGGUAGUGACUGUAGCUUACACUGUUGCUGCCCAACAUUGACAAAACAUGGGAGGUUCCGGUUCUGCCACCACAUUCGCAAUUAUAGUGGAAUUUUUCCCAUGUAAAGCCAAGCUCAGUGAUGGCAGUGUCCAAGACAUUUAUAGAGAUACCACCGUGAGGUUGGAUGUCGAACUUGCAGAUGUUGAUCCCCAGGAAUUGGAGAGCAUGAAGGAGAAGGCCGUGGGCAAUUAGGUGGAGAGAAUUGGGGAGAGUAUUGUUUGGGGUCCACAACAAGAGGUAUCUCUGCAACGUUUUGACAACUAUUAUGGUGAAUAUGUUAGAAUUGAAGAUGGAGAAUCCAUGGUUGCUGAAAUUGAUCAGUGAUGUCCGUUAUGCUACUGCACAAAAGACCUUCCAGUGGCGCCAGAAAUGGGCAUGUUGACGACACCAGGAAUCCUUCUGCGUUGGUGUUCCCUCGAAGCGGAGAGGAUGAUGUAGCAUAGCGGAGGUAAGUAUUUCCCUCAGUUUGAGAACCAAGGUAUCAAUCCGGCGGAGGAGUAUCUCAAGAUCCUGCACAAACACAAAAGCUUGCACCCAACGCUAUGAAGGGGUUGUCAAUCCCUUAUAGAUUGUUUGCCAAGUGAGAACUGAAAGCAACAAAGUAACAAAGCAAAGUAAAAGCAGAGUUGUAAACGAUGGAUGUGAAUAGACCCGGGGGCCGUAGUGUUCACUAGUGGCUUCUCUCAUGAAAGCAAGUAGACGGUGGGUGAACAAAUUACUGUCGAGACAAUGAUAGAACUGUGCAGAGUCGUGAUGAUAUCUAUGCAAUGAUUAUUUCUAUAGGCAUCACGUCCGAAACAAGUAGACCGAUACUUUCUGCAUCUACUACUAUUACUCCACACGUCGACCGCUAUCCAGCAUGCAUCUACUGUAUUAAGUCCAUAAGAACAGACUAACGCCUUAAGCAAGAUGACAUGAUGUAGAGNNNNNNNNNNNNNNNNNNNNNNNNNNNNNNNNNNNNNNNNNNNNNNNNNNNNNNNNNNNNNNNNNNNNNNNNNNNNNNNNNNNNNNNNNNNNNNNNNNNNNNNNNNNNNNNNNNNNNNNNNNNNNNNNNNNNNNNNNNNNNNNNNNNNNNNNNNNNNNNNNNNNNNNNNNNNNNNNNNNNNNNNNNNNNNNNNNNNNNNNNNNNNNNNNNNNNNNNNNNNNNNNNNNNNNNNNNNNNNNNNNNNNNNNNNNNNNNNNNNNNNNNNNNNNNNNNNNNNNNNNNNNNNNNNNNNNNNNNNNNNNNNNNNNNNNNNNNNNNNNNNNNNNNNNNNNNNNNNNNNNNNNNNNNNNNNNNNNNNNNNNNNNNNNNNNNCUUGCUGCCCCUACUGUCAUUGGGAAAGGUCAUCACAUGGCAGAACCCAAAACCAAGCACUUAUCCCAUUGCAAGAAUCAUAGAUCUAGUUGGCCAAACAAAACCCAAGACUCGGAGAGACUUACAAGGAUAUCAAAUCAUGCAUAUAAGAAAUCAGCAAAGACUCAAAUAUAUAUUAUAGAUAAUCUGAUCACAAGUCCACAAUUCAUCGGAUCUCGACAAACACACCACCAAAGAAGAUUACAUCGGGUAGAUCUCCAUGAAGAUCAUGGAGAACUUUGUAUUGAAGAUCCAAGAGAGAGAAGAGGCCAUCUAGCUACUAACUACAGACCCGUAGGUCUGAAGUGAACUACUCACGAGUCAUUGGAAGGGCGAUGAUGAUGAUGAAGAAGCCCUCCAACUCCAAAGUCCCCUCCGGCAGGGCACCGGGAAGGGUCUCCAGAUGAGAUCUCGCGGAAACGGAAGCUUGCGGCGGCGGAAAAGUAUUUUCGAGGCUCCCUUGAUUUUUUGCGGAAUAUUUGGGAAUUUAUAGGCCAAAGACCUAGGUCAGGGGGCGGCCAAGGAGGCCACAAGCCUGCCCACCGCCGCCUCCCCCUGGUGGCAGAGUGGGGGCUUGUGGGCUCCCUGGAGCCCACCUGGCUUGUCCCAAAAGCCCCGUGGACUUAUUCCGUUUGGGAAAAAAAUCAUUUCGGGGUUUUUCUUCCGUUUGGACUCCGUUCCAAAAUCAGAUCUGAAAAGAGUCAAUAACACGGAAAAAACAGGAACUGGCACUUGGCACUGAAUUAAUAAGUUAGUCCCAAAAAGAUAUAAAAAGGUACAUAAAACAUACAAAGAAGGCAAGAUAACAACGUGAAAUCAUCAAAAAUUAUAGAUACGUUUGAGACGUAUCAAGCAUCCCCAAGCUUAACUCCUGCUCGUCCUCGAGUAGGGAAGUGAUAAGAAUGAAUUUUUGAUGCUUUCAUGCUACCUAGCAUAGGUGUCCUUUGUAAUUCCUCUUAUGUGACGUGAAUGUUCAGAUCCAUUAGAUUCAAAAUAAUAGUUUACUAUUGACGUGGAAACAAUAAUAAUUCAAGCAAACUAGCAAAGUAAUCAUGAACUUUCAAAAUAACAAGGCCAAAAGAAAGUUAUCCCUACAAAAGCAUAUAGUCUGGCUAUGCUCUAUCAUCAUUGCACAACGAAUUUAAAUCAUGCACAACCCCGGUAUUGUCCAAGUAAUUGUUUCACACCUUUACUUUCUCAAACAUUUUCAACUCUCAUGCAAUACAUGAGCGUGAGCCAUGGUUAUAGCACUAUAGAUGGUGUAGAAUGUGGUGGAGGUUGCAAGACAAAAAAGGAGAAGAUAGUCACAUUAACUAGGCAUAUCAAUGAGCUGUGGAGAUGCUCAUCAAUAGAUAUCAUGUGAAUGAGUAGGGAUUGCCAUGCAAAUGAUGCACUAGAGCUACAAGUAUGUGAAAGCUCUUACACAAAACUAGUGGGUGUGCAUCCAACUUGCUUGCUCACGAAGACCUAAGGCAAUUUUGAGGAAGCCUAUCAUUGGAAUAUACAAGCCAAGUUAUAUAAUGAAAAUUUCCCACUAUCUAUAUGGUGGUGAAAAAACGAGAGACUCUCAAUCAUGAAGAUCAUGGUGCUUAAUAUGCACAAGUGUGGAAAAAGUGGUAGCAUUGUCCCUUCUCUCUUUUUCUCUCAUAUUUUAUUUUAUUUUGGUGGGCUCUUUGGCCUCUUUUUUUAUGGGCUUCUUUGGCCUCUUUUAUUUACUCACAUGGGACAAUGCUCCAAUAAUGAUGAUCAUCACACUUUCAACUAAAAACUUAGAGCAACUAUGACUCUAUAUGGAAUGCCUUCGGUAGUGUGCCGUGGCAAUGAUCUAGCAUGGCAUAGACAUCAAUGGAAACAUCAUGCUAGCUAUCUUACGAUCGUGCAAAGGCAAUGUAGACGUGGUGGCACAUGUCAUGGUGGUAGUUGCAUGGCAAUAUAUCUAGGAAUGACUUUGAAAAAGCCAUAGUAGGUAGGUAUGGUGGCUGUUUUGAGGGAGGCUAAUGGUGGGUUUUGUGCACCGGUGAAAGUUGCACGGCACUAAGAAGAUAGUGAUGGUGGAAGGUGAAAGUGAAUCUAAACCAUGGACUCAACAUUAGUCAUGAAGAACUCAUAUACUUGUUGCAAAAGUUUUAUUAGUAAUCGAAACAGAACAUUCAACGCAUACUCCUAGGGGAAGGGUUGGUAGGUAUAAACCAUUGCGCGAUCCCGACCGCCACGCAAAGGAUGACAAUCAAUAUACUAAUCAUGCUCAGAUUUCAUCACAUAGCGGUUCACCAUACGUGCAUGCUACAGGAAUCACUAACUUCAACACAAGUAUUUCUAGAUCCACAACACCUUACUAGCAUGACUUCAAUAUUACCAUAACCACAACUCAAAACUAAUUGAGAUGAAUCAAACUUCUCUAACUAUUCAAUGCACAUGAAGGUGGAAGUUUUGUAUCCCUUUGGAUAACUACCCCUUUUGAGACUACUUUCAAAGCAUAGAUCAACUACCAAGCCAUGCACCGUUGUGCUCUAAAAGAUAUAAGUGAAGCACAUAGAGCAAAAGUAUCUAGCUCAAAAGAUAUAAGUGAAGCACAUGUGAGCUAAAUUGUCUACCAAAAGAUAUAAGUGAAGCAUGACAAAAUCACGGUGUGUGCAUGUCUCUAUCUCUAGGUGUGCCGCAAGGAUGAUUGUGACACAACAAAAAUAAAACACUCCUACGAUACAAGACGCUCCAAGCAAAAACACAUAACAUGUGGUGAAUAAAAAUAUAGCCCCAAGUAACGUUACCGAUGGAUUGAAGACGAGAGAGGGGAUGCCUUCCCGGGGCAUCCCCAAGCUUAGGCUUUUACGCCAUUCUUGAAUCUCUUGGGGUGCCUUGGGCAUCCCCAAGCUUGAGCUCUUGCCACUCUUUAUCUUUUUGUCCAUAAGAACUUCACCCAAAACUUGAAAACUUCACAACACGAAACUUAAACAGAAACUCGUGAUAACAUUAGUAAAAGAAAGCAAACCACCACUUCCUUAGGUACUGUAGCAAACUUAAAUUCUACUUUUGCUGAUGUUGGGUUACUGUACUUUGAAUCUUCCAUGGCUAAUAUCCCCCGAUACUAUCCAUAGUUUCAUCAAAAUAAGCAACCAACACAACAAAAACAGAAUCUGUUAACAGCAGACCAGUUUGUAGCAAUCUGUAUGUUUCGUAUACCUGUGUUACUUCAUAAAUUCUGAAAAAUUAUGAAACUCUGAAGAAUUUGUGUGUCAAUCAGUAGCAAAAAGAAUCAACUCAAAAUCUCUUACAGAAUAAAAAUUAAAUUCUUUUCGUGAGCAGAAAGUUUCUGUCUUUUCCAGCAUGACCAAACGAUCAUCCUCAAAACUAAUCAUAACGGUUUUGCUUGGCACAAACGAAAAAAGAAACACAAAAAACACAAUCAUAACAGAAUUAUUAAAGUGUGGAAAACACAAAACAGAAAGAAAAAGGAUAAAUUUGUUGGGUUGCCUCCCAACAAGCGCUUUUGUUUAACACCCUUAGCUAGGCGAAAAUGAUGGAAUCACGUAUAGUCAUCUUUCGUACUCAAACCAUAGGUAGCCCUCAUCAUAGAUUCAUAAGGCAAUCUUAUUUUAUUUCUAGGAAAGUGCUCCAUGCCCUUCUUUAAAGGAAACUGAAAUCUAAUAUUCCCUUCCUUCAUGUCGAUGAUAGCACCAAUAGUCCGUAGGAAAGGUCUACCAAGAAUAAUGGGACAUGAAGGAUUGCAAUCUAUGUCAAGUACAAUGAAAUCCACGGGUACAUAGUUUGCAACAAUAAGAACAUCAUCGAUCCUCCCCAUGGGCUUCUUGACAGUAGAAUCCGCAAGAUGCAAAUUAAGAGAACACUCUUCAAUCUCAUGAAAACCAAGAAUACCACAUAAAGACUUUGGAAUCGCGGAAACACUAGCACCCAAAUCACACAAAGCAUUGCACUCAUAGUUUUUUAUCUUCAUUUUGAUAGUAGGUUCCCACUCAUCAUGAAGUUUUCUAGGUAUAGAGACUUCUAGUCUGAGCUUAUCUUCAAGAGAUUUCAUCAUAGCAUCUGCGAUAUGCGCGGUAAAGGCUUUGCUUUGGCUAUAAGCAUGUGGAGAGUUUACAAUGUAUUGCAUCAAAGAAAUGCAUUCAAACAAGGAACAAUUAUCAUAAUUGAAUUCCUUGAAAUCCAAAGUGGGAGUUUCGUUACUACCCAAAAUUUUGACUUCUUCUACUCCACUCUCCACACCUUUAUCAUCAAGAUAGGUGGACUCCGAAUCAUCGAGGCGCUUUUCAACCAAAGUGGAUUCAUAUCCAGCCCCUCCAUAAGUAGGUUUGACAGCGAAAACAAAGAUUCAAGAGGAGACACACCAAGCACUUUAAGAUCUUCGUGAUUUGUAUCACUAGAACGCACCCUUUUAAACCAUUCAUGUCUAGCGCGAAUUUGGGCGGUUCUUUCUUUGCUCUCAUUCAUGGAGAUACGCAUAGCUUUCAAAGUUUCAUCCAAGUUGAUCUUGGGAGGAGCGCAUCUAACUUUCAAAGCAUAAAUAUCACAAGACAUCCUAUCAACGCUCUUAGUAAAAUCGUCUAUUUUGAGUAGUUUUUCCUCUAUGGACGCAUAGAAAAUAUUUUGAGAGUGGAUGAACUCUUUGAUAUUACUCUCUAGAUCAGAGGGUAAUUUGUUGUGAUUUCCAUAUGUGUUGCCGUAGGAAUUGCCAUAAUUGUUAGAGGAGUUACUAGGAAAAGGCCUAGGAACAUAGUUUCCUCUGAAAGUAUUGUUGUUGCCAAAAUUGUUCCUACCAACAAAAUUCACGUCCAAACUAGCGUUGCUACUCUUAAUCAAAGAAGAUAGUGGCAUGUCAUUAGGAUCUAUGGUAGCGUUUCUACUAGCAACCAAAUUCAUCAACUCGUCCAUCUUAGCACUAAGCGAGUUAAUCUCUUCUAUAGCGUGCACCUUUUUGCUAGCAGGCGACCUUUCAGUGUGCCACUCAGAGUAGUUGGUCAUGAUAUUGUCUAGGAGUUUUGUGGCGUCUCCUAACGUGAUUUCCAUGAACGUUCCACCUGAGGCGGACUCCAAGAUAUUGCGAGAAGCGAAAUUCAAGCCAGCGUAAAAGAUUUGUAUAAUCAUCCACAAACUCAAGCCAUGAGCAGGACAAAUUCUAAUCAUAAGCUUCAUCCUCUCCCAAGAUUGUGCAACAUGUUCAUGAUCAAGUUGCUUGAAAUUCAUGAUAUCGUUACGUAAGGAGAUGAUCUUAGCCGGCGGAAAAUACUUGGAUAUGUAAGCAUCUUUGCACCUAUCCCAAGAAUCGAUACUAUUUUUAGGCAAACAAGAAAACCAAGUUCUUGCGCGAUCUCGCAACGAGAAAGGAAAAAGUUUUAACUUAAUCACGUCAUUAUCCACAUCUCUUUUCUUUUGCAUAUCGCAAAGCUCAAUGAAGGUAUUGAGAUGGGAUGCGACAUCUUCACUAGGAAGGCCAGAGAAUUGCUCUUUCAUAACAAGAUUCAGCAAAGCUACGUUGAUUUCAUACGAUUCCGCACUAGUGGCGGGAGCAAUCGGAGUACUAAUAAAAUCAUUAUUAUUAGUGCUCGAGAAGUCGCAAAGUUUGGUGUUUUCAGACAUGAUGUAUUCAACAAACAAACAAGCACACAAGCAAGCAAGAAACCGACAAAGGAAAACGGCAAGGGCAAAAGAAAACGGCGAAGGAGAAAGGCAAAUGAAAACGGAAAAUGUGAAGUGGGGGAGAGGAAAACGAGAGGCAACUGGCAACAAAAGUAAAUGCAAGAGAAGAGUUUGUGAGACCUACUUGGAUAGAUCUUGAUUUGUCCUCCCCGGCAACGGCGCCAGAAAUGCUUCUGAUGUCCGUUAUGCUACUGCACAAAAGACCUUCCAGUGGCGCCAGAAAUGGGCACGUUGACGACACCAGGAAUCCUUCUGCGUUGGUGUUCCCUCAAAGCGGAUAGGAUGAUGUAGCACAGCGGAGGUAAGUAUUUCCCUCAGUUUGAGAACCAAGGUAUCAAUCCGGCGGAGGAGUAUCUCAAGAUCCUGCAGGAACACAAAAGCUUGCACCCAACACUAUGAAGGGGUUGUCAAUCCCAUAUAGAUUGUUUGCCAAGUGAGAACUGAAAGCAACAAAGUAACAAAGCAAAGUAAAAGCAGAGUUGUAAACGAUGGAUGUGAAUAGACCCGGGGGCUGUAGUGUUCACUAGUGGCUUCUCUCAUGAAAGCAAGUAGACGAUGGGUGAACAAAUUACUGUCGAGCAAUUUAUAGAACUGUGCAGAGCCGUGACGAUAUCUAUGCAAUGAUUAUUUCUAUAGGCAUCACGUCUGAAACAAGUAGACCGAUACUUUCUGCAUCUACUACUAUUACUCCACACGUCGGCCGCUAUCCAGCAUGCAUCUAGUGUAUUAAGUCCAUAAGAACAGAGUAACGCCUUAAGAACGAUGACAUGAUGUAGAGNNNNNNNNNNNNNNNNNNNNNNNNNNNNNNNNNNNNNNNNNNNNNNNNNNNNNNNNNNNNNNNNNNNNNNNNNNNNNNNNNNNNNNNNNNNNNNNNNNNNNNNNNNNNNNNNNNNNNNNNNNNNNNNNNNNNNNNNNNNNNNNNNNNNNNNNNNNNNNNNNNNNNNNNNNNNNNNNNNNNNNNNNNNNNNNNNNNNNNNNNNNNNNNNNNNNNNNNNNNNNNNNNNNNNNNNNNNNNNNNNNNNNNNNNNNNNNNNNNNNNNNNNNNNNNNNNNNNNNNNNNNNNNNNNNNNNNNNNNNNNNNNNNNNNNNNNNNNNNNNNNNNNNNNNNNNNNNNNNNNNNNNCUUGCUGCCCCUACUGUCACUAGGAAAGGUCACCACAUGGCAGAACCCAAAACCAAGCACUUCUCCCAUUGCAAGAAUCAUAGAUCUAGUUGGCCAAACAAAACCCAAGACUAGGAGAGACUUACAAGGAUAUCAAAUCAUGCAUAUAAGAAAUCAACAAAGACUCAAAUAUAUACCAUAGAUAAUCUGAUCACAAGUCCACAAUUCAUCGGAUCUCGACAACACACACCGCCAAAGAAGAUUACAUCAGAUAGAUCUCCAUGAAGAUCAUGCAGAACUUUGUAUUGAAGAUCCAAGAGAGAGAAGAAGCCAUCUAGCUACUAACUACGGACCCGUAGGUCUGAAGUGAACUACUCACGAGUCAUUGGAAGGGCGAUGAUGAUGAUGAAGAAGCCUUCCAACUCCAAAGUCCCCUCCGGCAGGGCACCGGGAACGGUGUCCAGAUGAUCUCGCGGAAACGGAAGCUUGCGGCGGCGGAAAAGUAUUUUUGAGGCUCCCUUGAUUUUUUACGGAAUAUUUGGGAAUUUAUAGGGCAAAGACCUAGGUCAGGGGGCGGCCAGGGAGGCCACAAGCCUGCCCACCGCCGCCUCCCCCUGGUGGCGGAGUGGGGGAUUGUGGGCUCCCUGGAGCCCACCAGGCUUGGCCCAAAAGCCGCUUGGACUUCUUCCGUUUGGGAAAAAAUCAUUUCAGGGUUUUUCUUCCGUUUGGACUCCGUUCCAAAAUCAGAUCUCAAAAGAGUCAAAAACACGGAAAAAAUAGAAACUGGCACUUGGCACUGAAUUAUUAAGUUAGUCCCAAAAAGAUAUAAAAAGGUACAUAAAACAUACAAAGAAGGCAAGAAAACAGCGUGAAAUCAUCAAAAAUUAUAGAUACGUUUGAGACGUAUCAAUCAGCAAGAAUGGUGGGCAGGCAAAGAAGUAACAUUUUAUGCAGAGCUAAUUGAUCUGCAAACUCAUUCCAGAGUUGGUUAUGUGCCAUCAAAGAUGGCUGCACAGCUCGAAGAUGAUGAGUGGGUUUCAUAAAGAAUAUGUUGGCAUUGUUGACUGAACCAACUGUAGUAGCUAAAGAUACAGGGAUUGAUGCAGAUGGAGAGGAGGGAACCCAUGGUGCUAGGAAGUUUGUUGUUGACUGGAAUGUAGUAGAGUUGAAUGAAAAAACAGAUUUGGUCAUUACACCAAUAUCUGACAUUGAUAUGGCCGAAAUGUUUGGCAUUCAAGUUUAUGACAAAGAUAAGGAGAAGGAUGACAGUUCUUUGCCUGCUGAUGGUAACACCGGCCCUAGAAAUGCAAAUGAGGAUGAAGAAGAGCUGAUUAGAAAGGCUGCAGAUGAUGUGGAUUAUACAGAUGAUAAUGAGCUGGUUUGUUUGUAUGACAAAGAGAACCCAGUUAUUGAGGUGGGAAAGUUGUUGCCAAGCAUGGUUGAGUUUAGGAUGUCUUUCACGACCUUUGCAGUGAAAAAAGAGUUUGAUGCCAAGACUAUGUGGACUGAUCGAAAGAAAUUUUAUGCUCGAUGCAAAGGUUAUGAUGGUGGUGGCAAUGCUUGCAAAUGGUACAUAUCUGCCACACUACAACCUGAUGGAAGUACAGUAAGGGUAAAUCAAAUACCACACCAGCAUACAUCUAUGACUACUUCACAGAGAGUUUCAAAGAUGACAUCACAACUUUGGAUUCCAGAGAAGAUUACUCCUAUUUUAGCCAAGACUCCAAACACUACUGCAAAGAGGCUUAAAGUUGACUUGGAGAAGCUGUACCCCAUCCGACUGCAAUAUACCACAGUGUGGAAAGCAAAACAAAGGGCCAUGAAAUCAUUGUAUGGUGACUGGGCAAAUACAUUUAGGAUGUUGUAUAGUUUUAAAGCAGAGGUGGAGAAGAGGUCACCUGGAAGUGUGGUGGAGAUAGAUACACAGGUAAUAGAGGAUGGCAAGGUUUUUUUCAGCAAGUUUUUUAUGUGUUUGAAGCCGUAGAUGGAUUCAAAGCAGGUUGUCGUCCAUAUUUGAGCAUAGACUCAUCUUUUUUUACUGGAAAGUGGAAUGGUUAGUUGGCUGCAUGCAAUGCUCUAGAUGGACACAACUGGAUGUUCCCAGUUGCAAUAGGAAUGUUUCAAUCAGAGACAGAGGCAUCAUGGAUAUGGUUCAUGAUGCAACUGGAAAGAUGCAUAGGGCCAGUUUUUUCCUUUGGCAAUCCACACAGAUGCAUGUAAAGGGUUGGAAAAUGCAGUAAAAAAAGUUUUCCCCCAUGUUGAGCAGAGGGAGUGCUUUGGACAUAUGUGGAUGAAUCUGGUAAAAAAAUUCAGAGGAGAUGAAUUUGGGCGCAUGUGGCCAGCAGCAAGAUCGUACACCAGACAAACACAUUCCUAUCACCUUGGUAAGAUAUUGACAUCAUGUAGUGAUAAUGAAUUUGCUUCAUGGUUGAACAACCACCAUUCUCUGUUGUGGUACAUAUCAGGUUUUAAUACUGUCAUAAAAUGUGAUCAUAUCAAUAACAACUUGGCAUAAAGUUUUAACAACAAAGAGAAGGAUUUGAAAGACUUGCCUAUGCAUGACAUGGUGGACCAAAUAAGGAUCAUGAUCAUGCGUUUGUGGGAGUUGAGAGGAAAAAUUGCUAAUAUUUUGGAAGGGGACAAGCUUCCAGCAGUGGUACAACAGGUGGUCAACAGGAGUAGAAAUAUUUCACAUCUAUCUGUUGAGAAAUCUUCCUUGUGGGGGUGCUGAAGUUAGAGAUACAAAGAGUGGCAAGAGGCAUGUGGUAAAUACUGAGUUGCAUGAGUGCACUUGCCAAGAGUGGCAACACACUGGAAAACCAUGUGAGCAUGCAAUAAUUUUUUUGGCAUCUAAACCCAGGUUAAAUAUGCACCCAUAUUUGCAUGAGUAUUAUUCAGUAGAAAAAUUCAAAGCUGCAUAUGCAAGUCCAAUUCCUGCACUGACCGACCAAUCUCAGUGACCUGAGGUGGAAAUAGAAUUUACCUUGUGUCCCCCUGUUACUAGAAGAAAGGCUGGGAGGCCAAAACAGAGCUGAUUCAAAGCUUGGUUUGAGAAAGGUGGUUGUAGUAGGAAGGGGAAAGAGGAAAAUUAAAAGAAUGAAAAGCCCAAAAGGGCUCAAAAAUGUAACAAAAAUAGGUGCAAGUUGUGUGAGGUACUUGGGCACAGAAUUGGUUCAUCCAAAUGCAUCUACACUCAGAGGACAAAGUAUGUUUAUGUUACUGUUUUUGCAAGUUUUUGAUUUUGCUACUUGUUCUAGUAUCUAACCAAGUGAAAUGCUUUAUUUUUUUAGGAGGAAGCAUGCAGAAAAAGCCCCACCUCUUGUUGUUGAACAAUGUUGGCCAAUGAAAAAAGCAAGACUCAAUGGUUUUAGAAGGAAGAGAACUAAGCAGAUAAUGUUUGGUGACAAAGAUAUGGAGCAAACUGAUACUGUUAUUGCUGAACAUGAGCUAAUUGUUUCUGUUACUACUCAAUCUGUUUUGCAUGCACUAGGGCAAUCUGAAACUGUUACUGUUGAACAUGAGCUAACUAUUUCUGUUACUACUGAAUCUGUUUUGCAUGCACUAGGGCAAUAUGAAACUGUUGCAGAUGAAGCAAUUAUUGAGCUGCCAUGCGGUUCUACGUUAACAGUUGUGUUGCCAUGUUUGGAGGUUGUGCUUCCAUGUGUUGAGUUGCAAACUGAAGAAGUUGAACAAUGUGUUCCAUCUACUCAAUCUGCAGAAGUGCAAACUGAAGAAGUGGGACAUGGUCAGGUGCAAAAGUUGAGGCGGCCUAGUGGAGUUGUUGGCAAGAAUACCAAGAGCAUCAGCAUCAACAAACUGUGCGCCGUGGAACCAAACAUUGGAAAAAGGAGAAGAAAUCGAGUGGUAGAAAGAAGCAAAAGAAAUAGAGUCGAAAUCAUUCAAAUGUGAUGUGAUUUGAUGUGCAACUUAAGUUUGGUGUCAUUUGAUGUGAAAACUUAUGUUCUUUGAUGUAAAACUUAUGUGCUAUGAUGUUGAUUUGACUUGAAAAUAAAAUUCAAAUUUGAACCGACAUUCAUAUUUGAACCUUUCUCCAAUAUUUUUGGAGUUCAUUUGUUUGUUCUGUGAUGUUGCACUGUUUUUUAUACUACUAUACACUUUAGUUCAUAAAUCCAACCCUUUUUGCGAAGUCCAACUCAUAGUCACUAAAAAUGUUGUCCAAACAAGCUCCAAAGUAAGGGAAAACGACCCCAUUUCUAAGCAAGUUUUUUUCAACCUUCUCAAAAUCACCCAAAAAGAUAUUCUUAGCUUAUAUUAUACCUAUAUAGGAUCAAUGCGAAGUAUCACCUUUUUUUGAAUAAUUAUUCAUAUUAUUAAUUUAUUUUUGAAAAAACACCCUUUAAUACAAAGUCAACAACAAAACAAGUUUAAAAAUUGAAAAUGCUAAAAUAACUUCGGAUCCUGCUUAGUCACUCCAAAAUAAAGCUAAGGUGAGGUUUUAUGAUUUUUUGAAUUUUCAAAACCUGAAACCCUCUUCUCACUCUUUUGAACUCUAUGCAACCUUAGUCGAGAUAGUCCAAUUUGUGAAGGUUUUUUCAUGCAAAGAUCAUUACAUCAAGUUUAUCAUUUUAUAUCAUAACUAUGUUACAUAACAAGACUAUAUGCGCUGGUUUUUCAUUUUUUAGAUUUUGUUUGAAUUAGUUACACACAUUUGAAUGUUCCGUCAAACCUUUCAAAACACCGUUGACUGCCUCCAAAACCCAUCUAACCCUAACGCCUUCUCAAAAUCACCCAAAAAGAUUUUUUAGCUUAUAUUAUACCUACAUAGGAUCAAUACGAAGUAUCACCUUUUUUUGAAUAAGUAUUCAUAUUAUUAAUUUAUUUUUGAAAAACACCCUUUAAUACAAAGUCACCAACAAAAACUUUAGAUCCUGCUUAGUCACUCCAAAAUGAAGCUAAGGUGAGGUUUUCUGAUCUUUUGAAUUUUCAAAACCUGAAACCCUCUUCUCACUCUUUUGAACUCUAUGCAACCUCAGUCGAGAUAGUCCAAUUUGUGAAGGUUUUUUCAUGCAAAGAUCAUUAAAUCAAGUUUAUCAUUUUAUAUCAUAACUAUGUAACAUAACAAAACUAUAUGCGCUGGUUUUUCAUUUUUUUAAGAUUUUUUUGAAUUAGUUUCACACAUUUGAAUGUUCGGUCAAACCUUUCAAAACCCUGUUGACUGCCUCCAAAACCCAUCUAACCCUAACGCCAAACGUCCACCGUCGAUCUAACCCUAACGCCAAACCGUGGCCGUCGGAUAGGCCUUCUAGAAGGAAUUCGUGGGUGUGGGGGAGCAUCUCAGUGACCGGGGGCCGAGCGGAUAACGUUGAGCGGGGGAGCAUCUCAGUGACUGUUGGGCUGAGCGGAUCAGGACCGGCAGAGCCUGGCGUGCGUGCGCACAGCCACGUCGCAGCGAGAUGGGCCACCAUGCAUGCCAUGCAACGAGGUCGCAGCCUAGCUAUUCUGCCAAGUGAACACAGCCUAGCCGCCAUGCAUGCAGCGACACAUUAAAACAGCGGCAGGGACGUAGCGUACGUCACAUCUAAGCUAUUUUUAAUAAUUUCAUGUAUGAACCUUAGACAUGGGACGGACGCGUCGGUGGUGCGGCUCCAUUUUCAGUGACAAAGUUUCUCACGUCGAUUAAAAACGAAGCAUCUUGCCUAUGCCGCCCGUGCCUCUUUGGAUGCUGUGCCCUUUUUUUGCACACCCAUUAAUUAUGCCACCAUGCGGAGGAGAGAAAACGACCGAUCGUGUACAUUGACUACGGCUGCAACGCGGCUAUAAAAGGGCACCAUUUCCUCAUCCCUCUCACACUCAUCUCUCAAGCCUCCUCCUCUUCUUCUUUCCGAGCGAAAUCCAGCACUCGAGCCACCAUGAAGUUCAACGGCCCUACCUACCGUCGCCCUCGCACCGUGCCGGAUAUGGAGUUCCCGCCCGGAGUCGUCGUCGAGAAUAGCCUGAGGGUGUGGGCCAUCUCAAGGUGGAGGGCCCCUAGAGAUUUGGCUCGCUUCUUCCUCCAAGCCGUCUACCGCCACCUCCCUCCGGGCACUCCGCCCAUGUUCCACCUCCACGAGCAGGUCGAUGGCGGCCACAACCGCUUCGUCAUCGGCCUCUACGUCACCUUGACCAACCACUACGACGCUUACCACCUCCUCGGCCUGGUGUUUUGGUGUUGGUGCGAGUUCAACACGUUCACCACCUACAACAUUUUCACCAACUUCCACCACAUCUUCCCCAAGCCCAACGGCAUGCACACCCUCCCCUACCAGAUGCCGCCCCCGGAGAACGGAGAGUGAGGGGUGCCGGCGAAGGAGGGGCCAAGGAGUCUGCUGGCCGAGGAGUCUUUUUAUAUUUUUAUCUAGUAGUUGGGGCGUGUGUGCCUGUGUCUUUAUAUCUAGUAUUUCUAUAUGUUGUAUGCUACUAGGGUACCCGAUGCCCCUUUAUCGUACUAUUUCUAUCUAGUUUUAUGCAUUAUAUGUUUUAUGUUUUAUGCAUUAUGCACUAUAUUAAUGUUUCAAUUUUUUUUAUGCAACGUAAUAUCCACUGGCGGAGGCAGCAAUGUGGCAAGCUUUGGCCUCCACCACACCUAAAUUUGUUGCUUCCCUAUAUAUGUACGUUGGCCAUUAGGAAAGAUUCACCCUAGGUAUUGUUGUAAGCCUUGCUGCGUACGUCUGCCAUACCUUGAAACAAUCUCUGUCUUCGCCACUGGUAAUAUCUAAAAAGUUCGUGUAGGUGGAAGAACAUUUUUCCCGAUAUAAAUGAUACAGAACUGCUCGGAACAAGAUACCAUAGCACAAACUUUGAAAACACCAUAUCGCAAACACCAUAGCACAAACUUUGAAAACACCAUAACAACCUACUCCCCAAAUGCGUUUUUCGAGGCUAACUUUGACCACAUGUUAUAGAGAAAAUAAGGGCUUUGCUACACGUACGUACAUGACCUACGUAAACCUACAUGAAGGCUGAGUUUGACGAAAUAUAUAUCAAAUGAUACCAACAUCUAUAAUACUAAACCUAUAUGCUAUCAAAAUUAAUAUCAUUAUGCAUCUACUAAUAUUGUUUUCAUAUUAUAAAUGUUUAUAUUUUGUUCUAUAAAUUUAGUAAAAAUUUAUGAAGUUUGACUUUGACCAAAUCUUAUAUGCAGACUAAAAAGAAACGGAGGGAGUAUAUGACAUGCAAGUUACACCGUCAAAUUCAUACGUGAAAGGAGCUUCCAAUGAUACAACUUUUAUAUUAUACAUCUCAUAUAAUAUUAAUCUUAUCAAUAGUCAAACACAGCCUCAGAAAAUGAAUUAGGCCCUAUAUAUAUAUGGAUGGAGGGAGUAAUCAGCGCUGGUUUCCUAUGCAUGCAUUCGAUAAUUCCACAAUUAAUCACCGGAUGGAACAAGUGGCAGUAUAUGGGCCUGGAUAUGUUCUAUUCGGCCCUGUGCACUUUUUUUUGCACUAGCUACACCUUUUUUUAUCAAUGGGCCUGUAUAUAUCAAUGUCAAUGACCGUGUGCACUUUUGUUUUGCACUAGCUACACUUUUUUUAUCAAUGGGCCUGAAUAUGUUCUAUUCGGCCCUGCCUACCUUCUAUAUGGGCCUGACCUUUUCGCGAAACUGUCGACGAACCCUUUUUUUUUCCUUUUCUCCCUCUACCACUGAUCUUUUUACCAAAUUUCUCAUCUAGCCACCGAAACUGAAACUGAUGACGAACUGCAGAACUGAGAAAACGGGGCCGAAACAGAGUGGAGAAGACGAGAAGACAUGCCGAAUUCGUACAUCGCAACAGUUUUAUUCAAACAUCCAUAUCAUUACGAUUACAGAUGAUGCCCAAUCUAUUCACUAACGACUAAUUAUCAGCAAAUAAACAAAUGCGAGAGCAAUUACACAAACAUAAAAAAUUCUGGCCAUCAAAUUGCCCCGCUUCUUCAAUUCGAUUAGUUUCUUCAUCUUCUUGUUGAGCUUCUUCAGCUCUGCCGUCCUUGCUGCAUCCCCCACAGUAGCACCAAUGGAAUUGCUAGAUCCAGACGGGCCCGAUCCAAACUUGUACGCCUCCAACGGUAAAUCGAGCUCCUGUGAUGCACCCUCCAGUUGAAUCCACUCUAUGUACUCAUCUAGCCACUCAAAAUGGGCGCAUUGCUUCAAUUUCUGAAAUAGGAAAGAUGAACCCUAAAUCCCAAAUCCGAUGAAAAAUAUGAAAUUGGGGGACAAAAAUCAAAAUUGGCAUAUUCAGAAGUAAAAUCUCACCUUUCCCUGCUCUUGUUUGCUCUCGCAUUUCACGAAUUCCCGCCCAAGGUUGCCAUUCUUGUCGGUCAUUGUGACUAGCCGCUUCAGGGGUGCGGUACGUGGGCAUGCAGGGCACCUUGUCAUGGGCACUGCACCAUAGUGCGACCAUGAGAGGCGGGAGGCUGAAGCGGAGCUCGACAUUGCUAGGUCGUGGCCCGAAACGGCGUUGCUGCGCGUCGUCGCCGGAGAAGAAGAACAACAACGGUCAGGGAGCAGGGCGAGGAUGGGAAGGUCGCGGUAGGGCUCGGGUGCUGCACAGCUCGGUGUCCUCUCUUGUACCAAUGCUGAGCUGGAUAAGUUAGUGGGUCCCAUGCCGUGGGUCCCGCUUUGUUACGUAGGGGCUCACCUGAUUUGAGUUUUCAACAUUUGUCUUUGGAUUUGGCAGCAGUGUCGCACGCCAACUAUUUAUGCACUGGGAGAUGUCGCAUGAGAGCGUUACAACCAACGACCUCGCAUGAGAGAUAAUUCAACUCAACGACGUCGCAUGGGAGCUAUUCGCCCAAACCCGUGCCAGGCCCCGAACUCCUCGAAGGGCGCCGACGGCGUCGUAUGCGGUUGCGGGCGAAGGUGAGGUCGCCCUUGACCUGAAACUCACGGCGCUCCUCCUCCUUGAUGAGUAGAUCGGCGGGUGGCGUAGGCAGAACCGAGCGCGCGGGGGCGGCGGCGGAACCGAGCGGCGCGGCAGCGGUGGCGGAACCGAGCAGCGCAGCGGCGAGCGUGCGGGGGCGGCGGCGGAACCGAACGCGCGGUGGCGGCGGCGGCGGAACCGAGUGAUGCGGGCGCGCAUAUGUGGGAGCGGUUCCAGCGUAACGGUGGAAGUUCUUUUUUAGAAACGGGGGAGGUUUUUUAUUAUUAUUGUUGAAUCAGAGAGUAUCGUUAAUACUCCCUCCGUUUCUAAAUAUAAGUCUUUCUAGAGAUUUCACUAAUGGACUACAUACGAAUGUAUAUAGACAUAUUUUAGAGUCUAGAUUUUCAUUUUGCUUCGUAUGUAGACUUCUAGUGAAAUCUCUUAAUAUACUUAUAUUUAGAAACGGAGGAAGUAGGUGUUUUCGUUAGCUACGAGAAGUUUUGUUAACAACAUAAUCAGUCUGUUGAUUAAGGGAUGGGAGGGUUUAGAUUUCUAGUUCUUUUCCUUCUUUUCCUUUUUGAUGAUAGUAGAUAGAUAGCGAUGAUUACAUGACCGUAAGAAAUUUGGUAGUUGGAUAUGCCUUGCCUCUUCGUUCUUCGUUAGCGAUGAUUACAAAGCAUGGCAAGCCAGAAAUUUGGUAGUUGGAUCAGCCUUGCUGCUUCCUUCUUUGUUAGCGACGUACUUCUAUCAGUUUUGUAACAAUGAAUUUAAACCGUUCAUUACAUGAUUAGACACUUUUAGAUUUUAAGUUAAAACUGCUUCUUUGUUCUUUUAUAGUAUAACCCCAUGGGACAUGUGGUUAGCAAACUCAAAACUCAUAUAGUAUAGAUGCCAAGUCUCGGGUGGACGGUCCGAUGGACGGAGGCCAAUUUCGAUCCGAGCCGGCGGAAAACAGGCUCCUGGGGAUGCGACUGGGCAGUUUAUCCCCUGCUAGCGGGAAAAAAAUGGUGGGGGUUGUUGGGGGCGCGGCUAGAGGUGCUCUAAUAUAAGAGCAUUUACAAUAUAUGGGACGGAUGGAGUAGAAGCUAUUUUUUGCAAGUCCAUGUCUGUAGCCACUGAUUACUAAUUUGUGUGUAGCAAUUGCUAAUUUUUGUGUAUCUAUUGUCACAAUAAUAUUUUACCACUAUUAUCCAUAUAUAGUCCGCUGAGCCAUUGAUGUUGACAUUUUACUGCACAUUUGUGGUCCUAUUGUAUUGAUUUGGCAGAAAAUAUAAUAAGAAUACCCAGGAGCAAAUUCCUGCACCAUUAAUCAAAACGCGUUUAAAUGUUCUCAAUCCUAAGGAGUCUCUCUCUCACACAAUAAAAUUGGAAACCUGUUUUUAUGUGUGAGGUUUUGGCAAGGCUUGCACAUAUGCUUACAUAUGGUUUCUUUCAUCUUCAACCCUGGUUUUGUAAUUUCCAAUAUAAAAUGACACGGAUAUGAACAAAAAUAGAUCAUGCACUAUUGACUAAGGCCACACAUUUAAUAACACUUUUUAAAUAUUUAACACAUAAACUUACAUCAUAUUCAGAUUCUAAACAUUUUUCUAAUGAAGUUUUAUACAUAACAUGUUAAAUUUGGAUUUCGGGUUUAAAAGAUAUAGUUAUUUCAAAAAGUUGAUAUGUACUAUAGGUUGACUCAAAUAUCAGGGAGUUUCCUGCAAAAUUGAAAAUCCGACUUAAAAUUGGCAUGUAGAUUGAUUACCAGAAACAUCAGGGGGGGGGUCAGAAAAGCAAAAUCAUAGUUAAAAUUGUUGUUGGAUCGAGAAGGGACGUCUAGAGGGGGGGGGGUGUGAAAAGACUACUUAGCAAAAUAAAAACCUAACAUUUUCCCAGUUUUAUUGGUUGGCAAGUUUUAGUAGUUAUAGCAAGUCUAGAACACCCUACACAUGCAAGUCAACCAUUAUGGCAGCGGAAAAGUAAAGACAUGCACAUGAGAGUAAGGAGUAGAGAUUGGAAGAUCAAACGCAAAGAUGGAUGCUAGAAAUCAAGAUUCAUAUGGUUGGAGUCGAAUAUCUUGAUCUCAACAUAUGUGUAGGUGGUUUUCUCUCAGAAAAUGGAUGGGGCAAGUGUUGACUUGUUUUGAGUGCUUUCUCUACAUAUGAGAGGGAGGUGGAUGGAUAUAUGUAGGCAUUUCCAAAAAUCCACCCGUUACAAGAUUAUUCCUAAACUCGGUGGAACUAAAGUAAAAACUCGGUUACACCGACUAGUGCAAAAUAUGGCAACUUUCGACGUUUCGGUGAGACCGAUAUAUAAAUCACGGUGAGUCUGAUUUUGGCUGGCCUAGGCAGUUGUACAAACUCGGUAGCUCUGAUUUGUAAAACUCGGAGAUUCCGACUUUUAGGAGAUGGAUACGAGUGAGUUAGUCACUGUUUUUCAGCGGGGCAGAAAUAGAGCUUGUUUCACCGAGAUGUUAGGGUUGGCUCUGGAUUCUGUCUAGGGUAAAACUUGGUAGGGACGAUUUUGGAAACUUGGGGGCACCGAAUUUAGGCUUUGGGGUUUGGACAUAAUAUUUUUUUGGCAGAAUUCAUGAGGGUUUUUGGUGUCUAGCUCUAAGCACUUGAGCAACCAGAUCAUCAUAGAUACACCAUCCCCUUUUAAUAGUAUUGGCUUUCCUAUGAGCUCAAAUGUGAUUUCUCGCCAAAUGAAAAGUGUAGAGUCUUGAAGCUUGGUCAAUCCUAUUCUUCUCCUUCCUUGGGAUUUCCCCUCACAUUCCUAGCCACUAUAAUCGUUUGGUCUUAAUCUGAAAUACUAGGUAAACCAUUAGUCCGAGAGAUAAUGUAUGUUGUCAUGAAUUAUCGAAACCACCAAGGGAGCAUAUGUGAUUUCAAUCUACCCCUUUUUGGUAGUUGAUGACAACAUACAGUCAAAGCUUCAAAAUAAGAUGGUGAAAUCACAUAUGCUCCCUUGGUGGUUUUGAUAAUUCAUGACAACAUACAUUGUCUCUAGGACUAAUACUUUUACCUAGUAUAUUUUAGAUAUAUCCCACAAAGAGAAUUGGCAAAGAAUUAUGAGGAGAAUUUCAAAGAAGUAGAAGAAGAAAAGGAAGGAAUAGGACUGGCAAGCUUUAAGCUUCAAGUUUCAAGACUCUACAUUUUAUAUUUGUCAGAAAUCACAUUUAACUACAUAGGAAAGCUGAUGACCCACAAGUAUAGGGGAUCUAUCGUAGUCCUUUCGAUAAGUAAGAGUGUCGACCCAACGAGGAUCAGAAGGACAUGACAAGCGGCUUUCAGUAAGGUAUUCUCUACAAGCACUGAAAUUAGCGGUGACAGAUAGUUUUGUGAUAAGGUAAUUCGUAACGGGUAGCAAGUAAUAAAUAUAGCAAUGGUGCAGCAAGCUGGCCCAAUCCUUUUUGUAGCAAAGGACCAGCCUGAAAAAACUCUUAUAUAAGGAAAAGGUCUCUCGAGGACACAUGGGAAUUUGCGUCAAGCUAGUUUUCAUCAUGCUCAUAUGAUUCACGUUCGUUACUUUGAUAAUUUGGUAUGUGGGUGGACCUGUGCUUGGGUGCUGCCCUUACUUGGACAAACCUCCAACUUAUGAUUAACCUAUCUUGCAAGCAUCCGCGACUACGAAAAAACAAUUAAUAUAAAUCUAACCAUAGCAUGAAACAUAUGGAUCCAAAUCAGCCCCUUACGAAGCAACACAUAAACUAGGGUUUAAUCUUCUGUCACUCUAGCAACCCAUCAUCUACUUAUUACUUCCCAAUGCCUUCCUCUAGGCCCAAAUAAUGGUGAGGUAUCAUGUAUCACAUGACACCACUAGAGGAGAGGCAACAUACAUCUUAUCAAAAUAUCGAAAGAAUACCAAAUUCAUAUGAUUACUUAUAACAAGACCUAUCCCAUGUCCUCAGGAACAAACGUAACUACUCACAAAGCAUAUUCAUGCUCAUAAUGAGAGGAGUAUUAGUAAUCAUUAAGGAUUUGAACAUAUAAUGUUCCACCAAAUAAACCAACUAGCCUCAACUACAAGGAGUAAUCAACACUACUAGCAACCCACGGGUACCAAUCUGAGGUUUUGAGACAAAGAUCGGAUACAAGAGAUGAACUAGGGUUUGGAAAGGAGAUGGUGUUGAUGAAGAUGUUGAUGGAGAUUGACCCCUCUCGAUGAGAGGAUCAUUGGUGAUGAUGAUGGCUUCGAUUUCCCCCUCCGGGAGGGAAGUUUCCCCGGCGGAAUAGCUGUGCCGGAGCUCUAGAUUGGUUCUGUCGAAGUUCCGCCUCGAGUCGGAGGCGCCUCGUCCCGAAAGGUCUGAUAUGAUUUUUUUCCAGGUCAAAGCCCUUCAUAUAGCACAAGAUGGGCACCGGAGGCCUGCUAGGGGGCCCACAAGCCUGUAGGGCGCGGCCAGGGGGGUAGGUCGGGCCCCUUGCUUGUGACCUCCUGGUGGGUCCCCUCCAAUAUUUCUUUCACCCAUUAUUUUAUAUAUAUUCCAAAAAAAUUCUCCGUUACUUUUCAGGACUUUUGUAGCUAUGCAGAAUAGGUCUCUCAGAUUUGCUCCUUUUUCAGUCCAGAAUUCCAGCUGCCGGCAUUCUCCCUCUUCAUGUAAAUCUUGUAAAAUAAGAGAGAAAAGGCAUAAGUAUUGUACCAUAAUGUGUAUUAACAUCCCAUAAUGCAAUAAAUCUUGAUAUAAAAGGAUGAUGCAAAAUGGACGUAUCAACUCCCCCAAGCUUAGACCUCGCUUGUCCUCAAGCGAAAGCCAAGAUCAAUAAAUUGUUGGCUAACGUAGUAGUAAUUCAAAAUUUUCCUACGUCAUACCAAGAUCUAUCUAGGAUAAACCAGAAACGAGAUAGGUUGUAGAGCAUCUUCGUACCUUUGAAGAUCGCUAAGCGGAAGCGUUACUAUGAACGCGAUUGAUGGAGUCAUACUCGUACCGCUUCAGAUCACGAAAGAUUCCGAUCUAAGCGCCGAACAACGGCGCCUUCGCGUUCAACACACGUGCAGCCGGUGAAGUCUCCUUCACCUUGAUCCAACAAGGAGAGAGGAUAAGUUGAGGGAGAGCUCCGACAGCACGGCGGUGUGGUGGUGGAGCUAUGUAGUUCUCCGGCAAGGCUUCGCCGAGCACCGCAGAUGAGGAGAAGAGGGAGAGGUAGGGCUGCACCUUGGGGAUGUGUGAAAGGUGUGUGCAGGCCUCCCAAAACCCUCUCUAUAUGUAGGAGAAAGGGAGAGGGGGCCGACCACCCUAGGUUUUCCCUAGGUGGUGCGGCGGCCAGCCCUAGAGGAGGAGGGGCGGCGCCCUAGGGGGUGGCUUGCCACCCAAGGCAGCCCCCACGCCUAGGGUUUGGCCUCCCUUGCCUCCUUGUGCGCCUUGGUCCUUGGUGGGUGGCACACUAGCCCAUCUAGGGGAUGGUUCGCAUCCACUUUUGGGCCACGUGGCCCUUCGGGGCUGUUGGCCCCUCCCGGUGGUCCCGGUACAAUACCGAUGAUCCCAGAAAUAUUUCCGGCGAUCAAAUCUCCACUUCCUAUAUAUGAAUCUUUACCUCCACACCAUUCCGGAACUCCUCGUGACGUCCGGGAUCUCAUAUGAGACUCUGAACAACCUUCGGUAACCACAUAUACGAUUCCCAUAACAACUGUAGCGUCACCGAACCGUAAGUGUGUAGACCCUACGGGUUCGGGAAACAUAUAGACAUGACCGAGACAUCUCUCCGGCCAAUAACCAACAGCAGGGUCUGAAUAUCCAUGUUGGCUCCCACAUGUUCCACGAUGAUCUCAUCGAAUGAACCACGAUGUCGAGGAUUUACUCAAUCCCGUAUGCAAUUCCCUUUGUCUAUCAGUAUGACACUUGCCAGAGAUUCGAUCGUCGGUAUCCCUAUACCUUGUUCAAUCUCGUUACCAGCAAGUCUCUUUACUCAUUCCGUAACACAUCACCCCAUGGCUAACUCCUUACUCACAUUAAGCUCAUUAUGAUGAUGCAUUACCAAGUGGGCCCAGAGAUACCUCUGCUUCACACGGAGCGACAAAAUCAUAGUCUUGAUUCGUACCAACCGAACAAACACUUUCGGAGAUACCUAUAGUGCACCUUUAUAAUCACCCAGUUAUGUUGGGACAUUUGAUACACCCAAAGCACUCCUACGGUAUCCGGGAGUUGCACAAUCUCAUGGUAUAAGGAAAUGAUACUUGACAUUAUAAAAGCUUUAGCAGACGAACUACACGAUCUUGUGCUGUGCUUAGGAUUGGGUCUUGUCCAUCACAUCAUUCUCGUAAUGAUGUGAUCCCGUUAUCAAUGACAUCCAAUGUCCAUGACCAGGAAACCAUGACCAUCUAUUUAUCAACGAGCUAGUCCACUAGAGGCUUACUAGGGACAGGUUGUGGUCUAUAUAUUCACACAUGUAUUACGGUUUCUGGUUAAUACGUUUAUAGCAUGAAUAAUAGACAAUUAUCAUGAACAAAGAAAUAUAAUAAUAACCAAUUUAUUGUUGCCACUAGGGCAUAUUUCCAACAGUCUCCCACUUGCACUAGAGUCAAUAAUCUAGUUCACAUCUCUAUGUGAUUGUAAUGAAUCUAACACCCAUACAGUUCUGGGGCUUGUUCAUGUCUUGCUUGUGAGAGAGGUUUUAGUCAACGUGUCUGAAUCUUUCAGAUCCAUGUGUGCUUUACAAAUCUCUAUUUCAUCCCAUAGAUGCUGCUACCAUGAGCCAUUUGGAACUAUUCCAAAUGGUUGCUCCACUAUACGAACCCGGUUUACUACUCAGAGUCAUCUCGAUUAGUGUCAAAGCUUGCAUCGAUGUAACCCUUUACGACGAACUCUUUAAUCACCUCCAUAAUCGAGAAAAAUUCCUUAGUCCACUAGUUACUAAGGAUAACUUUGAUCGUUGUUUAGUGAUUCAAUCCUUGAUCACUCUUUGUACCCCUUGACACACUCAUGGCAAGGGACACAUCAGGUGCGGUACACAACAUAGCAUACUAUAGAGCCUACGGCUAAUGCAUAGGGGACGACUCUCGUCCUUUCUCUUUCUUCUGUCGUGGUCGGGCUUUUGAGUCUUACUCAAAAUCACACCUUACAAUAUAGUCAAGAACUCCUUCUUUAAUUGAUCCAUUUUGAACUCCUUCAAAAAAAUUGUCAAGGUAUGUAUUCAUUUGGAAGUACUAUUAAGCGUUUUGAUCUAUCUUUAUAGAUCUUGAUGCUCAAUGUUCAAGUAGCUCAAUCUAGGUUUUGCUUUGAAAAACACUUUUAAAACAACCCUAUAUGCUUUCCAGAAAUUGUACAUCAUUUCUGAUCAACUCAUGAGAAAUUUUAUAGUGCUCCCACUCACUUCUUUGGAAAUACAAGUUUCUCAUAAACUUUGUAUGAAAACCAAAGACUUUGAUCAUCACAUCAAAGCGUAUAUUCCAACUCCGAGAUGCUUGCUCCAGUCCAUAGAAGGAUCGCUGGAGCUUGCAUACUUGAUAGCAUCCUUAGGAUUGACAAAACCUUCUGGUUGUAUCACAUACAACCUUUCCUCAAGGAAACAAUAAAGGAAACAACGUUUUCACAUCCUAUCUGCAAGAUUUCAUAAAUAAUGCAGCAACUUCUAACAUAACUCCAACAAACUUUUAGCAUUUCUACGAAUGAGAAAGUCUCAUCAUAGUCAACUCUUUGAACUUGUCCGAAACAUAUUUGCGAUAAGUCGAGCUUUCUUAAUGGUGACUUUCAAGAUCAUCGUUUGUCUUCCUUUUAAAGAUCCAUUUGUACUUAAUAGUCUUACAACCAUCAAGUACUUCUUCCAAAGUCCACACUUUGUUUUUAUACAUGGAUCGCAUCUCCAUAGCUCGCAGGUUCAUUGUUGACCAGCAAUAUGACCUUGAAGAUAGGAUUACCGUAAUAUUCUGGAGCAAUACGUUUCCUUGUCGACCUACGAGGUUUGGUAGUAGCUUGAUCCGAAGCUUCAUGAUCACUAUCAUCAGCUUCCAUUUCAAUUGGUGUAGGCGCCAUAGGAACCACUUCCCGCGCCCUGCUACACACUGGUUGAAGUGACGGUUCAAUAACCUCAUCAAGUUUCCACCAUCCUCCCACCCAAUUCUUUUGAGAGAAACCUUUUCUCAAGAAAGGACCCGUUUCUAGAAACAAACACUUUGAUUCUGGAUCUGAGAUAGGAUGCUGAUGACGAGAUGAUGUAUAUACUUGUCGCCCCUCGUUGGUUACCCCAAGUGGAAGGUGAAGAUGCAAUCAGCAGCAAAUUUACCUUACACGGAGACUGUAAGGUUUAUCGAACCAGGAAGACUCCCAGGCUCAACAAGUAGGUGUCAUCCACCCUGGCGCUAGCAGAAGACGUGGACCCGCACACACAACAAAUAACUGUACUCCCAACAAGUACAUAGAGGUUGUCAAUCUCUCCGGCCUUGUAGUUUGCAAAGGAUCAAAACACAAACGGGAAGGUAAUAGUGAUUACAACGAAAAAGUAAAUGAAAGCCGUAAAUGAUGGAGGUCUAAACAAUGAUGGUGAUAUGGAACGGAUUCACAUGACAUUAACUAGUGAUGUCUGUCUCCCAAAAGACGAUAAACAACUAUGCUAGGGUAAACAAAUCAUAGUUGGGAAUUGACAGAAUUAUGAUUCCACCGCAAUGCUAAGUAUGCUCCUUGAUAGUUAGAGGUUCAAUAGUAAUGGGCAAUACGUCGAGACAAGUAGACCGUUUAUUCAUCAGCAUCUACUUACUAAUCAUCCACCUUGAGAUAUCUAUCGAGAACAUCUCUCCGGUAUUAAGUUGCGAGUCCCACCCAAAGUCUAAACUCAAAGAAACGGACAAUUGCAUUAAUGAACUAUGCGUAAGGUAAACAAUCCUUGCUACCGUGGUCGCAAGCACCGUUGUUUUCUCCCUGGUGGCAACAAGUACAUCCCCUAGUCUCAUGUUUCUGUCACUCAAGCUAGACAUCGAGGGGCCCGAACCCACAAUCAUGCAUAAUGCUCCCUCUUGGAGUUACAAUCUACUACUUGGCCAAAGCAAAGGAGAACAUGCAAGGAUCACUAAGGAACAUAAUAUAAAAGGAUAAUCAAAUAUAUAACUCGUAACAAUCUGAACAUAAUCUCAUAAUCCAUCGGAUCCCAACAAACCGAGCAGAGCAAUAGCAAGAGAAUUACAUAGAUGCCUUGAUCAUGUAGGGAAGCUCACAAGGACUAACCAUUGAAGCACAAGAUUGGAGAGAAGACAUCACAUAGCUACUGGUCAUGGACUCGUGGUCCAAGGGAAACUACUCAUGUCAUAUCCGGGAGGCAUCCAUGGUGGUGGAGAAGCUCCCGGAGAUCAAUCCUCCCUCCGGCAGGGUGCCGUGAAGAGGUCUCCUGACACUCCCGAUCUCGGAAGCGCUGCGGCAGCGGAACGAUGGAGAAAUUCAUGAUUCUAGAAAGUCUGUGACGGUUUCCUCACGGAACACUAAAUAUAGGCCAAAGGAGGGCACCGGAGGAGGUGGGCCCCACACAGGCGACCUCCUGGCGCGGCCUGGGGCCUGGCCGCGCCAACAGGCCACUUGGGAGGCCCCUCGCCCCCUCUGGCCCUCCUUCGUUGAUCUCGAAGCUUCUGUUUCACUGAUUUGUUUUAUAUAUUUUUCUUGAUUUUUUCGGGCUUCGGAAAAUUGGGUAAAAGCCCCUGCAAAAAAAGACCUCAGCAGACAGAAACUAGCACUUGGUGCACUGAGUUAGUAGGUUAGUCCAAAUAUGUGUAAAAUGAUAUAAAAGUGUAGCAAAACAUAUAACAAUGUCACCCAAAAGAUCAUGGAACAAGCAGAAAUUAUAGAUACGUUUGGGGUGUAUCAACAUCCCCAAGCUUAAUUUAUGCUUGUCCUCGAGUUGAUAAAUGAUAACACAAUAAUUUAUGUGGUGACAUGCUUAACACACAUAUAAGAACUUCAAGUAAAGCAAGUGAGAUAUGCAAUUCAAGUCAAGACAAUAACAAGCAAGAGUCUACAUCUAGUAUUGAAUUUAGCAAAGUAAGAACAUAAAGGUGCAACAGCUCUCUCUGUCCGUGACUCGAAUGUCUCCAAAUGGUGUUUGCGUGCAAGAAGUGGGAGAUGGGUUCAGAGAUAAAAUAUAUUUUUUAAUUGAGAACUCAAUCUACUAAACCUCACACUUAGUCUCCUUUGGAAUCUUAUUUUGACUCAUCCCAGACCACUUGUCAGGCACAAGUCAAAAUGAUCCUCUCCCUUUCGACUUUGAGCACUCAUGCAAUGGAUGAGCGUAAGCAAGAUAUGUUGGCACUUAGGAUGGCAAAUAGAAUAAUGAUGGGGAAGGAAGACAAAAAGGUGUGAAAGGCUCACACCAAUGAGGACAACCAUAGGCGAGAGAAAGCCAAAUGAUAGAUAUGAUGUGAGGAGUAGGGAUUGCCAUGUAACAGAUGCACAUAUGAGCCAAGGUAAGCUCUCCAAUGGAACCAGGGGGUGCAUCCAACUUGUUUUCUCAUGAAUACCUAGAGCUCAUUUGAGGAGGUUCAUUACUGGAAUAUGCAAACCAAGUUCUAUAGUGUAAGGAUCCCCACAUAGUUAUGCAUGAAUGUUGAUCUCUAGGUAGUACCAAUAUAGUAAUGGAGUACGAGUGUGGAUCUUUCAAAAGGAAUAGUAGUGUUGCCCCCUUCUCUCCUUUUAUUUCUUUCUUUUUCUCUUUUUAUUUAUUUUUUGUGGCCUCUUUCGCUCUUUCUUUUAUCUCUCAUUUGUCCUCUUUGGGAUCUUUUGUUUGUCCUCUUUGGGAUAUUUUCCUCUCUUAAGGGCAACACUCUAAUUUUACAUGAAUAGAAAGAGAAAUCAUCACACUUUAUAAGAAGUACUCAACAUAAAGACAAGUGAAAACUAUCAUGAUGUAUGCAAAUGUAUGCCUCUGCCAGUGUAGCAGGAUAUUCAAUGAUACUAGCGCGUCAUGCAACAGUAAUGAGGGCAAGGACCAACUAGCAUGCGGCUCUAUGAUCAAGCAAAAACAUGUAUGACAUGAAGAUCAAGUCAUGAGAUGAUGGAUGUUACAUGUCAAUGUAUCUCGGAAAGGCUAUGGAAAUGCCUUAAUAGGUAGGUAUGGUGGCUGUUUUGAGGCAAGAUAUAAUGAGGCUUAUGUAUGAUAGAGCGUAUCAUGUCAUGGGUUUAGAUGCACCGACGGAGUUUGCACCAACUCUCAAUGUGACAAAGAGCAAUGCACGGUACCGAAGAGGCUAGCAAAAUAUGGAUGGUGGAAGUGCCAACAAUCAAAUACUCACAUUAGUACGAAGAACUCAUACACUUAUUAUCGGUAACUCUCUAUCUAGUUAGGAAUUUCACAAAAGGCAAGUACCCCGAGGAGGAAUGUUUGGGGGUUUGGUUAUCCUUGUGCAUCCUCGACUCGUGGUAACGUGAGGGUACUCUAUAUAUUCCAACCCCUCCAGAGGUUAGCGAUCAAUUUAGUAGCUAGCGUUCUCAACUAAUUUUUAUUUUUUGAGAAACACACAGAUUUCCCAAAAUACGACACCUAUCACUAAUAGGCUCAAGAUCUUGGCACGAAUAGUCCAAAACAUUACUCAAAUUAAUACCUCACAACUAUUGCAAGUUACUACUAUACUUAAAUAUCAACCUCAAUCACCUACUUAUGCAAGACACACAACUCAGUGCAACAAGCCAACUCUCUAAACAAGAUAAGAAUGAUAACUAAAGAGAGUUCCAAAAUCAACCUAAGUAAAAUCUCUUAAAAAGAUAAGCAUGAAAACUAAGAGCUAAGCAUGACAGUAGCUACGAAAAGAUGAAGAACACACAAAAAGAAUAAGCAGGAAAACCUAUGUUGUGUUCUAGAGUGGAAUGGAGCGUGUCUCUCUCCCAAACAUGGUAAGCUAGGUUCCAACUUGUUAUGACCAGCAAACUAUACUAAAAAAACUAAAAAGCAAAUAGCGUGACGCUCCAAGCAUAGUACAUAUCAUAUGAAGUGAUAAAAUAUAGUAUGGAGAUGGACGACCUGAUGAUUGUUGAUAGAGAAGGGGAUGCACGGGGGCAUCCCCAAGAUUAGACGCUUGAGUCUCCUUUGAAUAUUUCUUGGGCUGCAUGGGGGAAUCCCCUAGCUUGAGCGUUUGACACUCCUUUAUCUUCUUUCAUCAUCUCUCCCAUCGCAAUACUUGAAAACUCCCUUCAUACAAAACUCAUCAUAAGCUGAUUAGAGUAGUUUGUUCCCUUAAUAAAAUAAUUCAGUACCUGCUGGAAAUAAAAAUUCUCAUGAAAAGAUACUGCUUCUCAUGAAUGCCAAAAGAUUUUUGCAAAUCAAAAAGCAAGCUUAGGAUUCGCAAAACAAUGAAAACACAAAACAUGGCAAAAUCUAUGAAAAACAGAACAACAGGUAGUAAAUAAUUUAUUCGGGGCACCUGUGCAACUCAAAUCAAAAAACUCAGAAUAGAUGCCGGAAAAAAUAUUAUAUAUAGCAUGUUUUUGAAAAAAAUCAGAUCAAAAAGAUGAACUCAUGAUUUUUUGCGAUUUUUUCCAUCAAGCAGAUAGAAUCUGUUUCUGGACAUGAUAUCACAGUUUUUGAUCUUUCUUGCAAUCGGAGGCUAUAACUUGGCACAAAACUUAAAAAUAAAGAUACAAUGAUGUUGCUAAAGUAGUAACACACAUAAAUACCACUAAAAUAGAAAGUAAAAACAUAUUGGGUUACGUCCCAACAAGCGCUUUCUUUUAUGCCUUUGAGCUAGGCAUAAUGCAAGAAGAUCAAGUUGUAUCAAUUGAACCAUCAUCAAGAUCAUCAAAGAGCUCUUCAAUGAUACAACUAGUCUUAAGAGGACUCUCAAAGAGAGGCUUAGUGGAAACACUUCUAGGAUCAAAAGCAAAGGUAGUAAGACCAAUUGGAAUUUCAUUGCUAAUUCUAUUUAAGAGAGGUAUCUCUUCCAAGGUCUUCACAGUUUCAACACCCUUAGCAAUAGGUAUACUUGUUUUGGGUUGAGAAACCUUGGGUAUGUUAAUGAACCUAGGUCCCUUCCAUGCGGGGGUUUCUACCUUUUUAGUCUUGAUGGAGGAUAGGGUAGUUCCUAAAGUUUCAAAAAUAUCCUCGAUCUUAUCAAUCCUAGAAGGAUCCACAUCAUGGGAUGUAAGGGUCUCCAAAAUUUUGUAAAUUUUGUUCAGGCAGCUAUCAAGUCUAUUUAAGUUCCCUUGAAUCCUACGAUCUACUUCAUUAAUUUUACUCAUGCUUGGCAUCUCUAGCUCUACUUUCUCAAGUUUACUCAUAACAUGAGAUAAAGUGAUAUCAUCCUUUAUGUGAACAAUAUGUGGGAUUCCGACAAGAUUUUCCAUAACGUUAAGAGCCUCCCCAACGGGAGCUUCCAAGAAAUUCCCUCCUAUUGCUGUGUUUAGAACAAACCUAUGCCAAGAAGUAAUACCAACAUAAAAAUUUCUAAGCAAAAUAGUGGUGGAUUGCUUCUUGGUGGCUCUAUCUUGAGAAUUUUUGAUUAUAUACCAAGCAUCUUUCAAACUUUCUCCAACCCUUUGUUUGAAGGUGAGAAUCUCUCCUUCGGGUGCAAUACUAGAGGCAAAGGAUUUUGGCUUACCGACAAGGCAAAGUAACUAUUUUUUUUGUGAUUUUUGGGUAUAAGACUCUAAAGCAAAAACUAGAACGCAAACUAACAAGACUAAAAAGCAAAGGUAAAAGAUAGUGUGCAACUCCCCUAUCUUGAAGAGUGGAGUCCCACGCAACGACGACAGAAAUUAGCUUGAUGACGAGAUGAUGUAUAUACUUCUCGCCCCUCGUUGGUUACCCCAAGUGGAAGGUGGAGGUGUAGUCAGCAUAAAAUUUCCCUUACACGGAGACUGUAAGGUUUAUCAAACCAGGAGAACUCCUAGGCUCAACAAGUAGGUGUCUUCCACCCUGUAGCUAGCAGAAGACGUGGACCUGCACACACAACAAAUAACUUUGCUCCCAACGAGUACACGGAGGUUUUCAAUCUCUCCGGCCUUGUAGUUUGCAAAGGAUCAAAACACAAGCGGGAAGAUAAUAGUGAUUGCAACAGAAAAGUAAAUGAAAGCGGUAAAUGAUGGAGGUGUAAACAAUGAUGGUGAUAUGGACCGGAGUCACAUGACGUUCACUAGUGAUGUCUCUCUCCCAAAAGACAAUAAACAACUAUGCUAGGGUAAACAAAUCACAGUUGGGCAAUUGACAGAAUUAUGAUCGCACCGCAAUGGUAAGUAUGCUCCUUGAUAGUUAGAGGUUCAAUAGUAAUAGGCAAUACGCCGAGACAAGUAGACCGUUUAUUCAUCAUCAUGUACUUACUAAUCAUCCACCUUGAGAUAUCUAUCCAGAACAUCUCUCCGGUAUUAAGUUGCGAGUCCCACCCAAAGUGUAAACUCAGAGCAACGGACAACUACAUUAACGAACUAUGCGUAAGGUAAACAAUCUUUGCAACCAUGGUCAGAAGCACCGUUGUUUUCUCCCUGGUGGCAUCAAGCACAUGCCCUAGUCCCAUGUUUCUGUCACUCAAGCUAGACAUCGAGGAGCCCAAACCCACAAUCAUGCAUAACGCUCCCUCUUGGAGUUACGAUCUACUACUUGGCCAAAGCAAUAAAAAGCAACGGAGAACAUGUAAGAAUCACUAAGGAACAUAAUAUAAAAGGAUAAUCAAAUAUAUAACUUAUAACAAUCUGAACAUAAUCUCAUAAUCCAUCGGAUCCCAACAAACCGAGCAUAGCAAUAGCAAGAGAAUUACAUAGAUGCCUUGAUCAUGUAGGGCAGCUCACAAGGACUAACCAUUGAAGCACAAGAUUGGAGAGAAGACAUCACAUAGCUAUUGGUCAUGGACUCAUGGUCCAAGGGAAACUACUCACGGCACAUUUGGGAGGCGUCCAUGGUGGUGGAGAAGCUCCCGAAGGUCAAUCCUCCCUCCGGUAGGGUGCCGCGAAGAGGUCUCGUGAUGCUCCCAAUCUCGGAAGUGCUACGGCGGUGGAACGAUGGAGAAAUUCACGAUUCCAAAAAAGUCUGCGAGGGUUUCCUCAUGGAACACUAAAUAUAAGCUAAAGAGGGCAGCAGAGGAGGUGGGUCCCACAGAGGCGACCUCAUGGCGCUGCCCGGGGCCUAGCCACGCUAGCAAGCCGCCUGGGAGGACCCUGCCCCCCUCUGGCCCUCCUUCGGUGAUCCCGAAGCUUCAGUUUCGCUGAUUUUUUUAUAUAUUUUUCUGGAUUUUUUCGGGCUUCGGAAAAUUGGGUAAAAGCCCCUGCAAAAAAGACAUCAACAGACAGAAACUGGCACUGGGUGCACUAAGUUAGUAGGUUAGUCCAAAUAUGUGUAAAAUAAUAUAAAAGUGUAGCAAAACAUAUAACAAUGUCACCCAAAAGAUCAUGGAACAAGCAGAAAUUAUAGAUACGUUUGGGACGUAUCAGAUGGAUACCCAACUGUUUUGGGAGUCUUAUGAAGAUGCAUUUAUCCGCAUUGGAUUCGAGCUUAUCAUGUAGAAACUUUUUCACAUAAGCGUCACAGCCCCAAACUUUUAAGAAAUGACAGCUUAGGUUUCUCCAAACCAUAGUUCAUUACGGUGUCAUCUCAACGGAAUUAUGUGGAGCCCUAUUGAAAGUGUAUGUGGUUAUGUCUAAUGCAUAACCCAUAAACGAUAGUGGUAAUUCGAUAANNNNNNNNNNNNNNNNNNNNNNNNNNNNNNNNNNNNNNNNNNNNNNNNNNNNNNNNNNNNNNNNNNNNNNNNNNNNNNNNNNNNNNNNNNNNNNNNNNNNNNNNNNNNNNNNNNNNNNNNNNNNNNNNNNNNNNNNNNNNNNNNNNNNNNNNNNNNNNNNNNNNNNNNNNNNNNNNNNNNNNNNNNNNNNNNNNNNNNNNNNNNNNNNNNNNNNNNNNNNNNNNNNNNNNNNNNNNNNNNNNNNNNNNNNNNNNNNNNNNNNNNNNNNNNNNNNNNNNNNNNNNNNNNNNNNNNNNNNNNNNNNNNNNNNNNNNNNNNNNNNNNNNNNNNNNNNNNNNNNNNNNNNNNNNNNNNNNNNNNNNNGAAACAAUUUUCACAUUGUCUUAAAUGUGUGCCAAACUUGCAACUCAGAUAUUCACCUCCACGAUCAUAUCAUAGACAUUUUAUCCUCUUGUCACAACGAUCUUCAACUUCACUCUAAAAUUAGUUGAACCUUUCAAUAAUUCAAACUUGUGUUUCAUUAAGUAAAUAUACCAGUAUCUACUGUGACGCCCUCGAUUUAAUCGUACGCUAAUCAUACACGCAAGUGCAUAUGAUCAAACUCAAGGACUCAAGGGAAGAUAUCACAACACAACUCUAGACACAAAUAAAACAAUACAAGCUUCAUAUUACAAGCCAGGGACCUCGAGGGCUAAAAUACAGAAGCUCGAUAAACACACGAGUCAUCGGAAGCAACAAUAUCUGAGUACAAACAUUAAACAUGGGGUGCCUUAGAGAAGGCUAGCACAAAAGAAACACGAUCGAACGAGGCGAGGCCUCCAGCGUGGGAACCUCCUAAACUACUCCGGCUCUUCAGCGGCUCCCACGAAGAAGACACCAACAGGGGGGGGGGGGUNNNNNNNNNNNNNNNNNNNNNNNNNNNNNNNNNNNNNNNNNNNNNNNNNNNNNNNNNNNNNNNNNNNNNNNNNNNNNNNNNNNNNNNNNNNNNNNNNNNNNNNNNNNNNNNNNNNNNNNNNNNNNNNNNNNNNNNNNNNNNNNNNNNNNNNNNNNNNNNNNNNNNNNNNNNNNNNNNNNNNNNNNNNNNNNNNNNNNNNNNNNNNNNNNNNNNNNNNNNNNNNNNNNNNNNNNNNNNNNNNNNNNNNNNNNNNNNNNNNNNNNNNNNNNNNNNAGGGGGGGGGGGGUGCAGACGUCGGCAUGAAACUCCAUCUCCUGGGCUCCAUCGUCUAGUCGCAACAAUGGGUCAAGGGGACAAGGGGGGAGCAAAGUAACGGUGAGUACUCAUCCAAAGUACUCACAAGACUUAUAUCAGAACUAAGCUAAGUAUGCAUCAAUAUCAAAGAAGGGGGGGGUUAUAUGUGGACUGACAACAACAAUGCAAGAAUAGAGAGAGAAGGCCUAGUCCUAUCGAAGACUAGCAUCUUGAGGGUCUUUGAGCAAUAGACGAGAGUAGAGCAAGGUAACACAAUUAAUAGUCAUAUUUUUUUAGCAAUAUUAAUAUGAGAUCACGCCCAGAGAUCCUUCCUCGACUACCUGCGAGGAAGCAAUCCUGGGGCAACUAAUUCCAGUUAAGUAUCAAUUGUAGUUGUAUAAGAUCAGGGCACAACUCCAAGUCGUCCUGUAACCGUGGACACACCUAUUCAAAUAGAUAAGUUCUUCCCUGCAGGGGUGCACAACAUAUUCCCCGGCGCGCUCGAUAACACUCUGGCUGGGCACUCUUUUCUGGGUCCUUCCCGGCCUCGGAAUAUCGACACGUCGCAAUCCCACCUAAGGUCAGCAGAGAGGACAGCCCGCCGGUCUAACUCCUAAGCACAGAGGGUUCGUGGGCCCACUUCCCCUCCGUGCUCCUGCAUGAUGCGUGGGCGGCCGAUGUCAGUCCUAGAACCCCUUAAUACAAGAGUGAUGCAUCUCGGGACCACUCAGGCGCGCGCUGCUCCAUCGCUGACGUAUGAAGAGCUUCGGCUGAUACCGCGAUGUCGAGUACCCAUAUUUCUUCCCACGCAGACGGUUAGUGCGUAAUAAGGCCUUCCGACCAACCCAAAUCAAAUACCAAAAUCCAUUAUCAUUUUAAUUAAGUCAUCGACACAAACACGCGGGAAUCCACCCGCCUAACAUAUAUUCAUCAAAGAUCCCAGUAACAUGGUCAAGUAACUGUGUGGUUAUAACAUCAGGGGGAUCCGAGGCAUCACCCUCGUUGGAUCUCGAACGAUGUAACCGUCAAGGUGGGCCUAGAGGAAUCACCCUCGAGGGUCCCACACUUGAGGGGUUGCACGACAGAGGCAUCGCUGGGAAUGGUGAAAGAGGAAUCACCCUCGAUAACCAUGACCGACUAGCUGUACUACAGAGAUAUCAUCACGAGUACUUCGCGAGGUGUCACCCUCGGUACCCGAUAGUAUCUUUGUAGCAUCGCACAACUAGGGGGUGUAAGUGUUGUGUCGGGUCUGGCUCGUCGAUCAGGGAUCGAGACUUGAUAAUUAAUCCGGGCAACUAGACUACGGGUUCAGAGGGGAAGACUGAUCCACCUAUACUAAACAGAUUAAAACUAUAGUACUGAAAGUAGCAGUUCAUCAAAAUUAGGCUAUGCAUCAGAUAUAGGAGCUAACUACAACAGUAGCAAAAUUCUAAUGCAAGCAUGAGGAAGAAAGAAUAGGCGAUAUAGGGAUGAUCAAGGGGGUUUGCUUGCCUUGUUGCUCUGCGGCGAAAGGCUGGUCGUCAGGAGGGUAGAUGUACCCGGCAACAACGUCAGUCUCGGGGUCUACCAGUAAUAAGAGGGUGGAGAAACAAUAAAUAAUAGCAACAGAUGCACCACUAAGCAUGACAUGGCAAUAUGCGGGCUAGGCAUGAGCUAACACAGCAACAUCCGUCAUAGACGGGUCGGAAUAAUAUGUGACGAUAUUUUUCGGGUCUCGGGCUACUACCGGCUAGACUGAAAACGAUGGAAAAGUUCCACGUUUGCUAUGCUAGGGACGCGUGACAGAUGAAUGGACCGCGUACCUGAGUUCGUCUCAUUGUGCUGAUCAACUUUCAUGUUGAAAAUAUUUUGAUCUGGCUUACGGUUUAUUUAUAUUAAUUUUUAAAGUUUUAUUCGAUAUUUAGGAAUUAAAAACAGAUUUAAUUAAUUCAAUUAAAUGCAAUUAUGACAUCAACAUGAUGCCAUGCUAACAUCAGCAUUUGACUGGUCAACUGACCAGUGGGUCCUACGUGUCAUUGACACAAUUUAUUAAUUAGGGUGAAAUAUUAAUUAAUUAGAUUAAUUUAGUGGGGGACCCACGUGUCAUACUCUGAUAGGAUAAUUUAAUUAUCCUAAUUAUUAGAUUAUCUUAAUUAUGUAUUUAAUUAAUUAACAAAUUAAUCAAAUAAUAUAUGUAAUUAAUUAAUUAAUUAUUUUAUUAAUAAAAACACAUUUUUUUUUAUUUUUAUGCCUUUUUUGUUCUCUUUCUACAUACAUGCAUACAUACUCAAUACAUACAUACAUACAUGCACAUCUAUACAUACAUACAUAUAUCACCAUUUUUAUUUUAUUUACAUCACAACUCUCUCUCUCUCUCUGCCAACUCUCUCCUCAACUCUCUCGCAUCUCUCUCAACAGAGAGAAAGGAGGCAACCUCCACCUCCACCUACAUGAGCUCAACGGCGUCGGAACGCGGCGGUGUUCGCCAGAACGGAAUCGGAACGGGGGUAAGGAGGAGAGGGUGGCCGGGGCCCGGAGUGUUGGAACUAUGCCCUAGAGGCAAUAAUAAAAUAGUUAUUAUUAUAUUUCUUUGUCCAUGAUAAUCGUUUAUUAUCCAUACUAUAAUUGUAUUGAUUGGNNNNNNNNNNNNNNNNNNNNNNNNNNNNNNNNNNNNNNNNNNNNNNNNNNNNNNNNNNNNNNNNNNNNNNNNNNNNNNNNNNNNNNNNNNNNNNNNNNNNNNNNNNNNNNNNNNNNNNNNNNNNNNNNNNNNNNNNNNNNNNNNNNNNNNNNNNNNNNNNNNNNNNNNNNNNNNNNNNNNNNNNNNNNNNNNNNNNNNNNNNNNNNNNNNNNNNNNNNNNNNNNNNNNNNNNNNNNNNNNNNNNNNNNNNNNNNNNNNNNNNNNNNNNNNNNNNNNNNNNNNNNNNNNNNNNNNNNNNNNNNNNNNNNNNNNNNNNNNNNNNNNNNNNNNNNNNNNNNNNNNNNNNNNNNNNNNNNNNNNNNNNNNNNNNNNNNNNNNNNNNNNNNNNNNNNNNNNNNNNNNNNNNNNNNNNNNNNNNNNNNNNNNNNNNNNNNNNNNNNNNNNNNNNNNNNNNNNNNNNNNNNNNNNNNNNNNUGAGAUCAUAUAACUCACUGACACCGGAGGAAUGCUUUGUGUGUAUCAAACGUCGCAACGUAACUGGGUGACUAUAAAGAUGCUCUACAGGUAUCUCCGAAGGUGUUAGUUGAGUUAGUAUGGAUCGAGACUGGGAUUUUUCACUCCGUGUGACGGAGAGGUAUCUCGGGGCCCACUCGGUAAUACAACAUCACACACAAGCCUUGCAAGCAAUGUGACUUAGUGUAAGUUGCGGGAUCCUCUCCCNNNNNNNNNNNNNNNNNNNNNNNNNNNNNNNNNNNNNNNNNNNNNNNNNNNNNNNNNNNNNNNNNNNNNNNNNNNNNNNNNNNNNNNNNNNNNNNNNNNNCUAGGGCAUAUUUCCAACAUUAGUCUCAUCUGAAACAAUGGCGCGUGCAAAAACCGUAGUGCAACGGUGAUUGUUGAGACCAACAAAAGGGAUAAAUGGCAUUCCAUACCUGUUCAUCUUGUACGUACUGUCGAACACAGUGACAUCGCCAUAGUCAAGAUAAUCCCGACGUGAUUGCGAAUCACACCAGAACAGGUUGUUCAGCCUACCUUCAGCGUCAACGGUAUGCUCAAAGGAGAAAUCUGGAUCCUUGUCCUUUCUAGCCAACAUGAUUCCUAUAGCAGUGUCAGCAUCACCUUGGACAAGCAGUUUCAUCUUCUCCCUGUAGCACAUAUUAUAUAAUUUCGUCCUUCCAAACCCUGUCUUAGCGUACGAACUGUACCUGCUGACAAAGUUAUCAAAAAUGAUAUGCUUUCUUAUCCAGCUCCUGUCAUAGCUAAAAUCUCUGCUUUCUGGAAAUCUUUGAUUACAUUGUGAGACCGUAGGAAAGGGACUUCGUCCGGUUUUGCAAGAACAUGGCUGUGAUCAUCGAAGAAACUGCUGACAUACCAAAGUCCACUCUUUCUAUCAAGCUUCACUUUUAAAUGGGCUUCACAGAAACAUCGACUUUCCGGUCUCAGUCUGCGGGUCCGGCCUUCCAUGGUUAAAAAUUUUGCCUGUCGUUUUCCUGCCCUGGAACAGAGAUACCUCCUCAUGCGUAAAACUUUUUGGGAACCUUUUCAAAAUCUUUUCAAGUCCCUCCUGAUACUGAAUCCACGAUCUUUGGCGUACUGGUUAUAGAACAUGUACGCCUCUCCUUCUGACCUGAAUGUCUUGGCCAUGACUUCCCAAUGCCUAUCCAAUGUCUCUUGCUGAUAUUCAUCAUAGCUGAUGUCAAGGUCAAAAUCAAGAUCGCCAACAUGCUCAUCGUUCCCAUUAGAACCAUCAACACCCCCCUGCAAAAUAAGACAUAUCACCAUGUUCAUCAGUCUUUUGAUAUGUUAGUUUUCAUGAGUAAUUUGAACAUGUAAUAUAACUUACUUCGCUCAUAUUUCCUUCAUUAGAUGCAUUGUCAUCAUCCUCAUCAUUAUCACCAUCCUCAUCAUUGUUAUCAUCCUCAUUAUUGUCAUCAUUCUCAUCAUUGUCAUCAUGUAAGGUUCUCGUCUCAGCGUCACCAUCGGUAUUUCUCCGUACAGAUUCAAAAGUGUAAGUGGUAAUACAAUUUGUAUGUUAGUAAUAAUACAACAACAUAUUUAAAACAUACCUGGGUUCCACUUUCAGCAUAAGAUUGAUCAUCGUUGUCAUAAUCGUCAUUGUCAUCAUUAGCAUGCACCUAUUUAAAUUCAAUAGCAAUUGUAAGUGAUAAUGUAAUAACUUAUAUUUUCAUUAUUUAUAGUCAACGUACACAACACUUACAUUACCACUAUAUGAUUCAUCCUGACUCAUAUAGUUGUGUCCGAGUGAUUUAUUUGCAUUCAGUGACGAAGAUUCAUCAUCACUACUAGAGUCAUCACCAGCAUAUCCGGUGUUGUCUUGAUCUAUUAAUAAACCUUUCAAUAGGUAUUGUAUCAAUGUACAAUGAAAUCGUGAAAAAUUAUAUGGAUUAAAUGAAAAAACUUAGUGUUCGUCGUCGAAGGGUUGAUCGACAUCGUUCGACGUCGGUGCCACGUCGGUCACUUCAACCGCCGGCGUCGAAGCGGAGGGAGAGGGUCACGUCGCCGGUGGAGAUGUGUGCUGCGACGUACCGGCGGCGGCGGAGACGAGACGUCAGCGGUGGAGGCGACGUGUGCUGGACUUGCGGCGUCCGCGGAGACGUGGUGGGGGGAGCCACGUCGGCGAGAUCGCGGCGGCAGUGUCGCGGCAGCGGAGUCGCGAUGGCGGAGUCGGGCGUGAUGAAGUUAGGUUUUUUUUAUCAACCAAACCAGCGAUGCGUGGGUGACGUGGCGUAUGUACGACGGGCGGGCGGACGAUGCGACAUAUACGGUACAUAACGUGCAAUGACCAUACUGCCCUUAUACGUUUAGGAGGGGUUGUACCGAAGAAGACCUCGUCAAUAAAUUCUUCCUUCCAGCAAGAGAGCCCUUACAGAUUUAUAGCUUUUGGUCUAAUAUUAUAGAGAAGGCAUGCUUACAGGGCCUAAUUUUACUAAGUGAACAUUUAUGUAUUGAUCUCUACAUAUUUUUAUUAGAGGUAAAUACCACGCAUUGCUUCUCCAAGUAUUCAUACAAAAUUGUAGAUGCAAAUGGCGUUUAAUCUAUCUUCUAGGGUUUAUAUUCAAAACUCUUCUUUCCUUAUGUAUUUUUUUCAGAAUCGCUUUUAUGUUUUCCUAAGAUCUGUGCGAAAACAACAUGAGCCUUUGCUGAUUGGUCUGGGACGGUGAAGUGUUAGUGGCAGUGUAAAUCGUUAAAGGGGGCAGCGGCGUCUUCGUUGCUACAGUUACAGAAUAUGCGGAGUCAUGUCAAAUCUUGCAAGGGAGCCUGUAGUAGGAGGCGGCAAAGUACUGGUUGUUGCCAUAGUAUCCAUAAUGUACGUCCUUCUUAAUAUGCAUGCAGUUUGUAGCUGUGUGUCUAACACAUUUUUAUGAUUUUUCUCUCGCAGGAAUUGUGUGAACACCAACCUCACACAUUCGCAUUUGUCAGUCUUGGGGAUUAUCACGAUGUGGUGACCUGCUAGGACGGGUGAUAUUUAUCUCUCUUCCUUGCAUCUCAUGCUUUAAAUUGGGUGUUGUUUGGUUUGUCCAGAUUUAUCACUAUGUUCUGAAGCGACUAAUCAAUGAACUUCACAAGACAGCAUGUUAAAUUUUAGAAUUUUCUUACAAUUUGUGCUUUUUUUAUGAAUUUUCAUUAAAAAACCCGUACAAAUAGAUGCCGGACGUGACGCAACGUGCGUUUGGUCCCCGAUUUCGUUGAAUUUUUGCAUUGGCAUCAUUGCAUGUCCAUUCUCAGGUGCGGGCAAAAGUUAGGUGAAUUUCAUGAAUGCAUGCAUGUACUUCAUGUGCAACCCACGGGUGUCGGUAUGGACGGAAGGGUGCUACAACGCCAUCUUGCAACUACCCUUCAUGAAAAAUUUCAUUUUUUUUUCCACGCUUCACGAUAAACUUCACAAGGCGGCACGUCAAAUUUUAGAAUUUUCUGACAAUCUGUGCUAUUUUUAUGAAUUUCCAUUCAAAACCGGCACAAACAGAAGCCGGACGUGACGCAACGUGCGUUUGGUCUCCGAUUUCGUUGAUUUUUUGCGUGACAUCAUUGCAUGUCCAUUCUCAGGUGCCGGCAAAAGUUGGAUGAAUUUCAUGAAUGCAUGCAUGUACUUCAUGUGCAACCCAUGGGUGUCGGUAUGGACGGAAGGGUGCUACAACGCCAUCUUGCAACUACCCUUCAUGAUUUUUUUUUUCUUUUUUUUCCAUGCUUUAAGAUGAACUUCACAAGGCGACGCGUCAAAUUUUAGAAUUUUCUGACAACUCGUGCUAUUUUUAUGAAUUUCCAUUCAAAAACCGGCACAAACAGAUGCCGGACGUGACGCAACGUGCGUUUGGUCUCCGAUUUCGUUGAAUGUUCGCGUGGCAUCAUUGCAUAUCCAUUCUCAGAUGCCGGCAAAAGUUGGGUGNNNNNNNNNNNNNNNNNNNNNNNNNNNNNNNNNNNNNNNNNNNNNNNNNNNNNNNNNNNNNNNNNNNNNNNNNNNNNNNNNNNNNNNNNNNNNNNNNNNNNNNNNNNNNNNNNNNNNNNNNNNNNNNNNNNNNNNNNNNNNNNNNNNNNNNNNNNNNNNNNNNNNNNNNNNNNNNNNNNNNNNNNNNNNNNNNNNNNNNNNNNNNNNNNNNNNNNNNNNNNNNNNNNNNNNNNNNNNNNNNNNNNNNNNNNNNNNNNNNNNNNNNNNNNNNNNNNNNNNNNNNNNNNNNNNNNNNNNNNNNNNNNNNNNNNNNNNNNNNNNNNNNNNNNNNNNNNNNNNNNNNNNNNNNNNNNNNNNNNNNNNNNNNNNNNNNNNNNNNNNNNNNNNNNNNNNNNNNNNNNNNNNNNNNNNNNNNNNNNNNNNNNNNNNNNNNNNNNNNNNNNNNNNNNNNNNNNNNNNNNNNNNNNNNNNNNNNNNNNNNNNNNNNNNNNNNNNNNNNNNNNNNNNNNNNNNNNNNNNNNNNNNAGUUGGGUGAAUUUCAUGAAAGCAUUCAUGAAAUUCAUGUUUAAGAAAAAUUAUAAGUUAUUUAUAUAUUAUGUAAGAAAAAAUAUUUAAAAUAAUUUCAUGAAUGUUUAUAUCGUUUAAAAAACUUUUUACAUCUUAAUAUAAUUUCAUGAAUGUUUAUAUCGUUCAAGAAAUAUUAUAAGUUGUUUAUUUUUGUUUUUUUAUUUUUUGUAAAUUUUAUAUAUUAGAUAAAAUUUAAAUAUUUAGUUAACUAAUGUAAACAAUUUAAAUAUUUCAAAUAAAUAAUAAUAAUAAUAACAAUGUAAACAAUGAAUUUAGAUUCAUAAUAAACUUAGAUAAAUUUUCAUAGUUUCCGAUUACAUUCGAACAUAAUUGAAAACUAAAAAUAGAAUUCAAUUAAACAUUACUAAAUUCUAAAAAUCCUAAUCUAAUCAGAGUCGAGGUAGACGACGGCGGGCCCGUCCACCGCGCCGUCGCCGUCCCCGCCGUCGUCGUCGGAGCUGUUGGCGAGGGCGUCCUAGUCGACGUCGUCGUCAUCGUCGACGGGCGGCGGGUUGCCGCCGCUGCCGCCGUCGCCUGGAUCGCCACCGCGAUCUCCGCCUCUUCCCUCGCCGCCGCUGCCGCCAUCGCCUGCGACGCCCUCAUGGCGACGAGUAGCCCCGGCGAGUCGUCGGGGUCGCCGUCCUCGCGGAGGACGAACUGUUCCGACGACACCUCGUACUCCGCCGGGACAGCCGGGGCCACCACCGGGGCCGCCGGAGGUGGGUGGGGGAUCGCCGCCCGACGGCGACGCGGGACGCCCUCGCCACUGUCGCCGCCUGCCGCCGCCGCCUUCCGGCAACGCCUGAUGACGUCGUUGUAGUUUUUCCCAUCCCAAAAGGCGUGCCGGCCGUGGGUGUUGUAGCGGCCGCCGGGGUGGACCCGGAGCUGCUCCGGCGUCGCGGGGUUGGUCAGCGUCGGAUAGCCGUCCUUGCAAAUCCUCCAAGGUUUUGCAAGGCGGCACCCUGGCGGGACGAGGAGGCCGAAGUUGAACAGCUCCUGCGUCAGCGACUUGUCGAGGCUCUGGGGCCAGUUGCUCUCCGGCGCGCCGCCGCUGUCGGAGCUGCCGCCGCCGACAUGGUCCAUCGCCGGGUCGUCGGAGAACGGGGAAGGGAGGAAGAGAACUUCGGGACGACGGGGACCUGCGGCGGAACGACGAAGAGCGGGGGAGAGAAGGAGAGCAGGGGAGCAACGGGUGUGCCGACGAGCCGCGGGACGAUGGGUAUAUAUAACGCCGCGACGGGAGGGGAGGCGACGGGGCAGCUGGCCGGCGUAACUCCCCCGGAGUGAAUGCGCAUCGCCUCGGGAGCCGUCGAACCAACGGGCCAGCGGCGACGGCCUCGGGAACCGACGCGACUGGGCUAUGACGACGGGGCCGCCAUUAAUGGCGUCGCCUCGGGAGCCGCCGAACCAACGGGCUAACGGCGGCAUCGGACGACGCUGACGCGGUGAUUAAUGUCGUCUUUCGGGAACCGACGCGGCGAGCUGGCGACGCGGUGGUUAAUGGCGGUGGCUUCGGGAACCGACGCGGACUGGCGACGCAGCGCGGGAUUAAUGGCGGCGGCGUCGGGAACCGACGUGAACUGACGACGCAGCGCGGGAUUAAUGGCGGCGGCGUCGGGAACCGACGUGAACUGACGAUGCAGCGCGGAAUUAAUGCCGUGGUCUCGGGAACCGACGGAUUGACCGCGGUUAGACCGACGUGGCGACGCCACAUCGCAGCGGAUGGGACGCGGGUACGACGCGUAUACCGGGCUCCUGUACGUCGCCGUUUCGUCAGCUGGCGCCCGUCGAGCUGACGCGCGUACGUCGGGACGGGGGAAAAGACAAUCCUGCCCUUUGUUACAAAGGGGUAUCGUUUAAUCUCAGCUGUCCUUGUGUUUGGGGGUUGUAUCGAAGAAGAAGUGUUUACUACAAAUUAGACAUCAGAUGCUCAUAUUUAAUUAGACAUCGGAUGUCUAGUGUAUUCUACAACAUGACUGCAGACGUGCAAUAUUGUCGAAGGGAAAAGGUGCUCUAAGAAGCUGAAUGAUAAACAUGUCACCAACAUACUUAGAACUUCCUUGGGUUUGUGCAGGCCACGAUAUGGAGGACAUGUCCGGUUUCACUAAGUCGACUAAACAUCUAUUGGAAUUGGGUUUCUUAUAGCUUUGAUGAAAAAUUAUCUUCUCUUAAUUUGAUGGUCAAGGUUCUAGAGCUCAUUGCUUCAAAUGGAUUAUCUCAAAGUUAUCAAUAAUAAGGUAUUAUGGAUUUUGUACAUAUUCAGGCCCUUCAAACAGUCUAUUGUGCGUCAAAGGUCACGUUCAACUCUGACAAAUUCUGCCGCAACCUUGUUCGUACGUGUACUUCGAUUUAUUUUUGUAUUGCUUUUUUGGGCGUUUGACAAAUGCUUCAUAAACUAAUCUCAUGUUAAAUAUACACAACUAUGUAAGAUAGUUUCACCUGUCUCUCAUGUACUUGCAGUAUGACAUCCAUUGCCAAUUUGUAUUGUUUCUAAACUGAAAUGAUGUCUUCUUGUUCACUGAUUCUCUCAUGUACUUGCAGUAUGACAUCCAUUGCCAAUUUGUAUUGUUUCUAAAUUGAAAUGAUGUCCUCUUGUUCACUGAUUAUGUGUGAACUGAAAUAAUGCCCUCAUGUACUACAUUGGUCUUUCAUAUGCUGGUUGUGCACACAUGGCAUUAGCUUGUCAUUUUAUACUUUAUUUGUUCACCUCACUAAAAAUGAAAAUGCCGCCUGAAACUUGUAAGCACGUGCUACCUUCGAUCUUCAGUUCUUUAAUAUAUUUUGUUAAGCUUACUUAUCGAGGUUAUCAUAAACCGUAACUAUCUAACACGCAUUGCACUCUCACGUGAUGUAGUAAUUCGCAACAGCAGUGCCACGGUUCAGUUCAGCAAGGAGGCCAACUACCUCUACAAUGUCCACUCCUACUGGUCUCUGACCUGUAAAACAAGAAGGGAUGGUGCUAGCUGCUGAAACGGAGAUGACCGUAGUCCUCUUGACAACGAAGACGAAGACGCAACAGACCAAGCCUUCUGCGUUCUCCACUCGCAUGUACAAGGAGUUCCGCGAGAUGGCUAACGCUGUCAAGAACCAGGUCACUAGUAACUACUACAUGACCAAACCCGUUCUUGCAAGGCUUUCAAUUUACCGCAACCUGGCAAAUGAUGAAUACAAUGAAUGAUGCGCUCAACAGACUUCUUGUGCCAGUAGGUUCAACAUUUUUACUCCAUGACUAUGUUUUCGGAACUGAUAGAAGCAUUUUCUUUUUUUUUAGAUAUGAAGGGACCAUUUGUAACCCCUCUGUGCCAUGCCUAUGUUCAUGAUUACUCCUUAUACUCAUGUUCAUUUUUUUGUUAUGUUUCUGAACCGUGUAUAUCAUCUAUGUGUGGGAACCGUUGGUGUUCUUUUAAAAAUAUAUAUUGUUGUGCAUCGAUUUCUUCAUGGUCAUUCCUUCUUUUAUUUUUCAAAAAAUUCAUAAUAUCAAUGUAAAAUUUAUAUUCACAUGACUGUUCAUCACAAUAAGAUAAUAUGUCUAUACCACUUGUCAAUCAUUGUUGGCAAGGAUUCAAAAAGGAUUUGGUCAAGAAAAUUGGGAUAUACUUUUUUGAAAAUUUCCCUUGAACAUUGUUGAUUUACUCAUGAUUGAUAAUAAAUAUGUUCACUAUAAAGUUUUAGUCCAAGUAACAUUUUUGUAUAACAACAUUGUUAGAUAUAUGUAUGGUCUCUCUUAUAUUAGCACAUAAUUAUAUUUUUGUUCAUUAUUUUCUAGAACGAAUGAUAAUUUUUUCACACAAUAAUACGUGUGCACGUGCACGCUUACCAGUGGAAAAGAAACCACUCCUUCGUUUCGCCUGUUUCAAAAAAAUAAAUAAAUUCAAAAACAAAAAAAAACCUCCUUCGUUUCGGGCCACCUUUCGCGGCGCGCCUCUCCUCGGCUUUGACCGCGCCCUCUCGCCCUAACCGCCGCAACGCCGCCCUCGCCUCCUGCGCGGGCGCCUACACUACGCACGCGCGCCUACCUGUGGCUUGCCCUUCUUCCGCCAUGGCGACCGACCCCGGCGGCGACGCGUGCCCGCUCUGCGGCAGCGGGGAUGACCAGGCGGCGGUGACGGCCGGCCCUGCGCACGUCACGCUCCGCAAGCGGAACCUGCCCGCGGAGGCCGUUGCGCGGCUGGGGCCCGGCGACGAGGCGGCCGUACUGCGUGAGGCGGUCGCGUGGCAGCAGAGUGGCAUGGCGGAGCUGCAGGAGGAGCUCGAGGCGGAGCGCGGCGCCGCUGCUGAGGCCGCCAGCGAGGCCAUGUCCAUGAUCCUGCGCCUGCAGCGCGACAAGUCCGAGGCCAUGAUGGAGGCGCGCCAGUUCCGGCGGUUCGCCGAGGAGCGGUUCGCGCACGACGCCGCCGAGGUUGCCGCCCUCCACGUCGCCAUGGCGCAGCGUGAUGCCUCCAUCCAGUCGCUCUCCGCGCAGCUCCGGGUGUGCCGCUCCCGCCUCAUCCAGCUCGGGUUCGUUUCCCCGUCGUCCCUCCCCUCGUAUCCCACGGCCGCCGCGGGGGAUCACCUUUUCGCUGACGACUGCCCUUCCAUCCAAUGCCUCGAUUAUCCGGCCCGCUCAGACGUCGGUAGUCCACGCACCCACCACUUGUUCUAUACAAUGCCCGGCCGAGCUUCCCAUAAGGGUGUCAUCUGCGCUUCACCACGGCGCCAGUGCCAUGGGCGCGCACUCUCCAAUGACAGCUUGUAUGACGGCGGCAUUUCAGCGGCUGAUGAGUUACCGUUCGUGGUGGAGCGGGACGUGUCGGACCAGGACAAUGACUGCGACCCGGUGUAUACUGUCGAGGCAGUGCAUCGCGUGCCUGUUGCCGCACCUGAGGACUGCUGCUACUUUCAGACACCGAUGGGAAACGACGUGGGCUUUGGUGGGGUUGGGGUGUGGGCUGAGGAGCAGGAGAUACAAAAGCUCAGUGCAAGGUUACAAGCACUGGAGGCAGAUCGGGAGUCGAUGCGGCAUGCAAUCAUGUCGAUGGGAGCAGAGAAGGCGCAGGUUGUGAUGCUCAAAGAUAUUGCUCACCAGCUCUGUGAGGAGGCGUCACCAUUGCCUGCAGUUUCGUUGAAAUUGCAUCCAGUGCCACAAGCGGUGGUAGGGCCACAGAGGAAGGUGGUGAAGAGGCAGCCUUUCUGCAUCAAAUUCUUCAUUGUGACCGUAAUUAAGGUAAAUUCAGCUGGUCUCGUGCUUCUAUAAAUUCUAAGUUUGUUCAUAGUGAUCCAUCAGUUAUAAGUAAACCGAUACAUUAAGGUAUUCUUCAUUUCUUCAUGUCGUAAUACUGGUUUUUGAGCAAACCACACGCACUAUAAUAGUAAUAAUCUAGAAAUGCAACAGGGCACUGCUGGUGGACCCAGGAAUAAAUUGAAGGGUGUGCAAACUAUUUUUUUUCCUACCUAAUCCAAGUGUAACAAAAUAUGGCAAAAGAAUAACGUAAAUAACUCAAUUCAAAUCUCACAACCAUUUAAUUCACAAAAUAUAUAUUCCAAAUGUGCUUAGUUACAAUACAAAAGGCUUACAUGGAAGAAACAGAAGUAAAAAAAAUUACAACACUAGGUAACUAUACGUCGUUGCAUUGCCAUGAAAGCAUCAACUAUGUCAUCUUCACUUACUUUCAUGAACACAUCUCGCUCAAUGAAUGUCACCAAGCAAUCAUUCAAGUGAUCAUCGCCCAUAAUAGUCCUUAAUUAUUUUUCACUGGAUUCAUUGCAGAAAAUACCCUUUUAACAAUUGCGGUUGCUACCGGUAAAAUCAAUAUCAAUUUGAUGAGUAAGUAGACCAAAUCAUAAAGAACAUGCUUUUUUGUUGCAACAAGCAAAAUAGAGAGCUCACCAAUAUUACUUGCAUUUCUAAACCUAUCAUAUUGUCUCAUAUCAUCAAUAAAAGUAGCAAUUGAAAUUCUAGCCUUAUCAAAUUCGUGCUUGAUAUGUCCAUGGGAUAGAUUCAACAAGUCUCAUUACCUUGAGUGCAUCAUAAGAAGCAAAUGAAUCGAGGGGAUUCAAAGGCGACAUGCAAAUAAGCAACUCCAUAUUAACCUCAUCAAACCGGCUGUCAAGCUCUUAAUACCUUGAGCUUUGUUGUGAAUGAUAUUAAUACCACCCUCAUGUUUGUGGUAGUAACCGCUAGGGUUCUACCGGGUCUAGGGCGGAGGUUGUAGGGGAUGAAGCGGAGUUGGCGAGGGCUGGAGCAUGG
This 64118-nucleotide long non-coding RNA is filed under the name Hordeum vulgare. RNAcentral describes it as "long non-coding RNA (HVUL_LNC009933)". The record is from RNAcentral. Lineage: Eukaryota; Viridiplantae; Streptophyta; Magnoliopsida; Poales; Poaceae.